GCCAAGGUCGUCCAAGGAGCAAGUGUGCCACAUGCAUUGGGACUACAUCACACCAUACUUCAUCCUCAUAAUUGCCAAGUUUAAAAGUGACCAAGGACUGUUUCGUAACUUUAACUUCGGAACAUUCAUUAAGCCACUGAAGGUGAUAUGGCUUAGGGUGUUCGGUGCAAGGCAACUUUAAAGAAUCAACCAAAUAGCUACUCACCACAUUUGAGCAACUACCACUAUCAAUAAUGAGUGAACAUAAGUUACUUUUAAUAAAACACCGAGAAUGGAAAAUAUUGGCCCUUUGGCUAUCAUCAUCUUUCAUCUGAAUGUUAAGGGUUCGACGAACUACAAGGCAUUAAAAAUUAGCAAAGUCCCCUUCCUUUGGUGGUUCGACCAACUCGUCGCCAUUAUCACUGUCAUCCACAAGUUCUGGCAUAUCUGGAUCUGUAUUAUCAGAGUCGGAAGUGUACUCACCGUUAUCUUUUAGAAGAAGUAAUCUCGUGUUAGGGAAUUCUCUACUAUAAUGACCACGCCCUUUGCACUUAAAGCAUUCAAUCUCACGAGUCCUCUUCGCACUCGAAUCACCUAAAUUGGGCUGCUUAGAAGGUGUUUGCGUUUUAGCAGGAGCCCCUUUUUUCCAAUCUGAUUGUUUACUUCCAUUACUCAAAGAAGACUUGUUAGUAACAAAAGGUGGUUUUGAACUCUUAAAAUCAGAAUUGGAAUUGUUACCUCGAUAAUAUUGUGAAGUAGAGAAGGACCCAAACCUUUGUUCCUUUAAUUGUUGCUCGAUCUCAAUGGCUUUGUGAACUGCUUCUUCCAAAUCAAUGUAAGUUUGUAGCCUCAAUGUAUUAGCUAUCGGCCUGUUCAAACCAUCAAUGAAUCGAACCAUAGUUGUUUCUUCAUCUUCCUCCACAUUAGCUCUCUGAAUGAGCAUCUCCAUCUCUUUAAAAUAUUCAUCCACCGUCCUACUACCUUGGAUAAGUCUUCUCAACUUUGUUUUAAUUUCUCUAUAGUAGUGAGGUGGAAUAAACCUUUUACGCAUAAUCUGUUUCAACUCAUCCCAUGUCGAAAUCUCACCUUCAUAAUUCCGAUGGCGGUUUACCCCAAGUUGAGUCCACCAACUUAAUGCAUAAUCAGAAAAUUCCAGUGUUGCUAACGCUACAUCAUCCGGACAUUUAUAAUACCGAAACAUGAGUUCAAUCUUAGAUUCCCAUUCACAAUAAGCAUCAGGAUCAUUCUUACCACGAAAUUGGGGAAUUGUGAAUUUCGGUUUUGCCAAAGAAGGUUGUCCAUGAUCAUGAAAAUCAUCAUCCAUUCUAGGGACACGUCGAGGGUCGCGCCUAUGGGGCUGGUUAUUCCUAUCUUCCCUGGUUGGAUCUCGAUAUUGAAGUUCUUGAUUCAUUCGUACCUCAUUCAAAGUAGUAUUCAAUGCUUGAAGGGUAGCAUUUAUUUGUGUGAUUGCAGCAGCGUGUCCUUCUAACUGUUGUUGGACUUCCAUAAGUGUAUCAUUAUGGUCAUCUUUAGACAUCUUCCACAAAAGCUGCAAAAAUAAACACUCAACACUCAAAAAUAAAAGUUAGCAAACCUCAUCGUUAGUCACUCAAAAAGAAAAUUCAAAUUCUCAAUGAGGUAGAAUUCAAUCUUGUGAGUUCUUUAUCAGAGUUUAUAUCAACCAAUUAGAGAGUAUGAACCAAACUACCAAAGAAUCCUAAUUUGCACUAGGAUGCCAAAAACUGACGAGACACCAAUUGAUUCGUGUUGCACCGAGGAAGAAGUUGUGCACACGUGUAAAUCCUACUAACACAAGAAACAAGAAGGUGUUAGAUAACGUAACAGAAGAAUAAAAAGCAAACAAAUGAAAACCUACAGCUAAGAAUCAAUAAAAAUUGCUAAAACCAGAAAACCCGAAAAAACUGCAGAGUAACUUGACAACUUCGUUCGAGGUGUUCCCGAUCUCCAAAAAUCACGAAAUUAAAUCUGGAGUGUCCUUAUAUAUUGAAUUUUUGAUCUGGAAAGUUUGGGCACCAAAAUCAACCCGCUGAAUAUUUUUUAAAAUUUUUAUUGGAUUUCGUCUUUUUUCGAUUUUUUGACUUUUUUGACUGAUGUUUUUGCGGGAAUAAUUUUUUUUAUAUUCAAUAACAGUGCAAAAAAUAUGUAUGUAAAAUUUCAGAUCAAUUGGACAUCGUUUACCCUCUUAAAUGAAUUUUUUUCGAACAAUUUUUCUGGGUAAAACUGCUGUUUUUGCUUUAAAAAAUUGAGAUCAGUUUAGAAAUCAACCAAGAACACCCAAAACGCCCAAAAUCUGAUACCAAAGAUAUAGGGUUGCGCGUGGACCAAGAUCGAGUUGCCAAGUCAUGAGAAACUCUUACGAAAGCUCUAAUCGAACAGAUCUGAAAUCAAAACAAAGAAUAAGAUUAAAAACAAAUCAGAUCUGGAAAUUAAGAUCCCCAAAACAAUCAAGAACAGCCAAGAAUCAAAGAUCUUAUGAAUAGAUGUUUUUGGAAUGCAAAAACACGAAAUCGAUCUCCAAGAUUGAUUUUCAACAAGCCGAAUCUGUCCAAGAACUAAACCGAUGAAUAAAGCCCCAAAUUCCAGCAACUUGAUUUUUCCCAAAAUUCCAGCAACCUAAAACAGUCAGUUUUGACAAGAAGAAUUCGACAAGAUUAAUUGGAAAAGAUAAGUUUAGUCGAAUUUGGCUACCAAGAAUGAGUACCGAUCGAUCUUUUUGAGUAAUAAAGAUGGCUGGAAAUUCACAAGAAGAAUAAACAAAUUAGAUCAAAAGAAUCGGCAUAAACAGAAUUUAAAAGAAAAGAAUGAACAGCAAGAAAGUAAAUUGAAGUCCUAAAGAUCCUUGAAAUCCCGAAAGAUUUCACAAAUCUCUUCAAACGGCUCUAAUCUCCCCUCCAACGAAUAUCGGUGGCAAGAAGAAGGUUGAAGAUGGCUCCCACAAUCCAAAGAUUGUUAAAACAACUUCUAAAGAAAACUCAAGAGAGAAUUCUUGGAGAAAACCCCAAAGAAAAUUCUACACUCAACAAAUCUAAAAUUUGAUAGAAAAAUAAUAAUAAGAUGUGUUUACAAAGGGUGGCUGGCCAAUGCUUAUAUAGGCCUCCAACAAAUCCUAAUCUCAUAAGUAACUAAUAAAAAUUAAACCUAAUUAAUAAAAUAACAAGGUAAAUUCGGCCAUGCACUUAUAUGGGCUGUUUUGGGCCGAAUUUUACAUGUAAUGCUCUUAAAGAUUAAAAAAUUAAAUUAAACAAGUAAGAUGUUUACAAAUUGGGCCCUUUGACAUUUUGGCCUGAUUUUCAACUAAGUAUGAAGAAAUUUCUUGAUUGGGCUAAAUUUUGGUUAUUGGGCCUCGCCUUCAAGAAUUUGGGCUCGUGAUCCAUCUCCUACCAAAAUUGGGUCGUUGACGCUCGUAAUGGAGAUCCAAUGCGUUUUGGCUGCAAGAUUUGGUUUCUUGGACCAAGAUUUCCAAGAUUUGAAAUCUUGAUUUUCUUGAUUCUUGAAAUCUCUUCGAACAUCAAAAUUGGGUCAAGAUUCGGUUUCUUGAUUUUCUUGAAAACAAGAAAGUGAAUCUUGAUUUUCUUGUUCUCUCGUGUAUGCAUCUAAGGCCUUGCUAACAAGCUCUUGAAUGGUCCCAUUUAGUUUGGACCGCAUUUGUCGGGCCUUUGAUCUUGUUAUUGGGCCUUGUGGCAAUUUGAACCCAUCACGUUCUUGAACUUGGAUUGGGCCUUUAUGACACGUAUCAUUUCUGCUCUAAUAAAGUGGUUUUUCUUGGUUUUGUAGUUAGCUCGGAAGGACUCGAGGUGGACCAUGAAAAGAUUAAGGCAAUACAAGAGUGGCCGAGAUCAACGAGUAUCAGCCAAGUUAGAAGCUUCCAUGGAUUGGCAAGCUUUUAUCGACGUUUUGUGCCUAAUUUUAGCACUUUGGCCGCACCAUUGACGAGUGUAAUCAAGAAAAAUUCCACCUUCUAUUGGGGUGAUGAACAAGAGAAAGCUUUCGCUAUUAUUAAGGAUUGUCUUACUAACGCCCCAUUGUUAACCCUACCUGACUUUUCUAAAACAUUUGAAAUUGAGUGUGAUGCGUCAGGUGUGGGGAUAGGUGCUAUGUUGACACAAGACGGGAAACCGAUUGCUUAUUUUAGCGAAAAGCUGAACGGAGCUGUGUUGAAAUACCCCAUGUAUGAUAAGGAGAUGUAUGCUCUCAUUUGGGCCCUUGAAACAUGGCAACAUUACCUGUGGCCGAAAGAAUUCGUGAUUCAUUCUGAUCACGAGGCGCUUAAACAUAUUAAAGGCCAACACAAAUUGAACAAAAGGCAUGCCAAGUGGGUCGAAUACCUAGAGUCAUUUCCCUAUGUCAUUAAGCAUAAAAAAGGUAAAGAAAACAUAGUGGCCGAUGCAUUAUCAAGAAGGUAUACGCUUCUAUCACAUCUAGAUUCAAAAUUAGUUGGCUUUGUGUUUUUGAAAGAUUUAUACGCUACUGACAAUGAUUUUGGUGAAAUAUAUGUUUCUUGUGAGAAUGUGGUUGUUGAUAGGUUUUAUCGACAAGACGGCUUUCUUUUUAAAGAAGGGAAGUUGUGUGCCCCACAAGGUUCCGUUAGGGAAUUAUUAGUGAACAAGGCACAUAGUGGGGGCCUCAUGGGCCAUUUUGGUGUGGGCAAGACAUUGGCUACACUCCAAGAACAUUUUUAUUGGCCAAAAAUGAAGCGGGAUGUUGAACGCGUUUGUGAUCGGUGUCUGACAUGCAAGAGAGCCAAAUCCACAACCAAGCCGCAUGGACUAUAUACACCGCUUCCAAUUCCUGAAGGUCCUUGGAUGGAUAUAUCAAUGGAUUUCGUCCUUGGUUUACCUAGGUCAAAGACGGGGAAGGAUUCCAGAUUUGUCGUCGUUGAUCGUUUUUCUAAAAUGUCACAUUUUAUAGCUUGCACAAAAACUGAUGACGCUGUUCAUGUUUCUAAUUUAUUUUUCAGAGAAGUCGUCCGUCUACAUGGAAUUCCUCGAACGAUAGUGUCGGAUCGCGAUGCAAAGUUCUUGAGUCAUUUUUGGCGAUCAUUGUGGGGAAGGCUAGGAACUAAACUCUUAUUUUCAACUACUUGCCAUCCUCAAAUCGAUGGCCAAACUGAGGUGGUCAACCGCGUUCUAUCAACGUUGCUUAGGGCUAUCAUUCGAAAGAAUUUAAAAUCUUGGGAGGAAUGCUUACCACAUGUCGAAUUUGCCUAUAAUCGCUCCAUACAUUCGGCGACUAAAUAUUCCCCUUUCAAAAUUGUUUAUGGCUUCAACCCUUUAACGCCAUUAGAUUUAGUUCCUCUUCCUAACAAACAAUUUGUUCAUGCAGAUGCUAAAAAGAAAGCUGAAUUCGUGAAGAAUUUACAUGAGAAAGUGAGGUCCAAUAUUGAAGCGAGGACCAAGAUUUAUGCCCAGAAAGCAAACAAGGGUCGGAAACAAGUUGUUUUUGAACCCGGAGACUGGGUCUGGGUACACAUGAGGAAGGAAAGAUUUCCAGCUCAUAGAAGAUCCAAGGUACUUCCUCGGGGGAAUGGACCAUUUCAAGUGUUGGAACGCAUAAACGAUAAUUCAUAUAAACUUGAUCUGCGUGGUGAUUAUAAUAUUAGUGCUAGUUUCAAUGUUGCUGAUCUAACUCCUUUUGAUGUAGAUUCCGACUUGAGGACAAGUUGUUUUGAAGACGGGGGAAUGAUGCGGCCAUGACGCGAAGUGUGCCAAAAACAAGCAAAGAUCCUCAAAUACUUCCUCAAGGCCCGAUCACUCGAGCUCGGGCAAAGCAAUUUAAGGAAGCCAUUUCGGCUUUAGUGGAGCAAGUUUGGAGCGACAUUUUAGCUGUGCAAUUUAAGGUUGGCCGAACGUGGAAGGGAGCAUUUAAGUUAGAUGCAUGCACAAUAGGUUCAAUGAAUUUGGUGAUACAUGCAUGAUGAAUGUUCAGCUGAUUUCAUUAUUCCAAGAACCAGCAUAAUGCCGUUCACACAUGGAGUUCACACUCAUGGCUUUUCGGUUUGGAAUGUUCACACCAUAGGACUUUUCAAAAUUGAGUGUUCACACUUCAUUUGGCCAUUCAAGUCCCUUUUAAUUGCUGGUCACUUUUCAGCAAAAGCUACAAAUUAAAUGAGCUUAUUUAUGCACAUUGAUCGAAUCUAGCUCAUCCAUGCACCAUUCAAGUUGUCCAAGGUUCAAUGUGAAUUCUAGAAGCUUUCCAAGUUCAGCCGAACCUAGCCAAGCCAUUGAAGAAUUCAUUAGCUUAAUUUUUAAGAAAAUGUAUGUGACUAUUCGGCUAACUUAGUUGCUGAUUAUAAAUAGCUGAAAUUUCAUUUUGUAAAGAACUUUUUGACAUUUUAAGUAACGAAUUGCUGCCAAAUUUGUGAGGCAUUUUCUCUCAAAUUUCGUUCGAGACCCGUAAGACUUAUCUAGCUUCUAGUGGCGUCUUUCUGAGUCUUUCUUUCGAACUUAUCACUCCCUAACCCAAGUGUGGCGUUCACCUUUGAUACCUUUGGUUCAUACUUUACUAAGUAUCAGGUCAAGGUCCUUAUCAACCAUUUCCAACUCAAUUUGGUCCUAUAAGUUUCAGGUCGACACUUUUUGAUACGAGUCAUAAAUGCCCAAUCCAAGUUCAAGAACGUGAUGGGCUCACAUUUCCACAAGGCCCAAUAACGAGAUCAAAGGCCCGAAAAAUGCGGUCCAAACUAAAUGGGACCAUUCAAGAGAUUGUUAGCAAGUUCUUAGAUGCAUACAUGAUACAAGUCAUAAAGGCCCAAUCCAAGUUCAAGAACGUGACGGGCUCAAAUUGCCGCAAGGCCCAAUAACGAGAUCAAAGGCCCGACAAAUGCGGUCCAAACUAAAUGGGACCAUUCAAGAGCUUGUUAGCAAGGCCUUAGAUGCAUACACGAGAGAACAAGAAAAUCAAGAUUCACUUUCUUGUUUUCAAGAAAAUCAAGAAACCAAAUCUUGGCCCAAUUUUGCUGUUCGAAGAGAUUUCAAGAAUCAAGAAAAUUAAGAUUUCAAAUCUUGGAAAUCUUGGUCCAAGAAACCAAAUCUUGCAGCCAAAACGCAUUGGAUCUCCAUUACGAGCGUCAACGACCAAAUUUUGGUAGGAGAUGGAUCACGAGCCCAAAUUCUUGAAGGCGAGGCCCAAUAACCAAAUCCAGCCCAAUCAAGAAAUUUCUUCAUACUUAGUUGAAAAUCAGGCCAAAAUGUCAAAGGGCCCAAUUUGUAAACAUCUUACUUGUUUAAUUUAAUUUUUUAAUCUUUAGGAGCAUUACAUGUAAAAUUCGGCCCAAAACAGCCCAUAUAAGUGCAUGGCCGAAUUUACCUUGUUAUUUUAUUAAUUAGGUUUAAUUUUUUAUUAGUUACUUGUGAGAUUAGGAUUUGUUGGAGGCCUAUAUAAGCAUUGGCCAGCCACCCUUUGUAAACACAUCUUAUUAUUAUUUUUCUAUCAAAUUUUAGAUUUGUUGAGUGUAGAAUUUUCUUUGGGGUUUUCUCCAAGAAUUCUCUCUUGAGUUUUCUUUAGAAGUUGUUUUAACAAUCUUUGGAUUGUGGGAACCAUCUUCAACCUUCUUCUUGCCAUCGAUAUUCGUUGGAGGGGAGAUUAGAGCCGUUUGAAGAGAUUUGUGAAAUCUUUCGGGAUUUCAAGGAUCUUUAGGACUUCAGUUUACUUUCUUGCUGUUCAUUCUUUUCUUUUAAAUUCUGUUUAUGCCGAUUCUUUUGAUCUAACUUGUUUAUUUUUCUUGUGAAUUUCCAGCCAUCUUUAUUACUCAAAAAGAUCGUUCGGUACUCAUUCUUGGUAGCCAAAUUCGACUAAACUUAUCUUUUCCAAUUAAUCUUGUCGAAUUCUUCUUGUCAAAACUGACUGUUUUAGGUUGCUAGAAUUUUGGGAAAAAUCAAGCUGCUGGAAUUUGGGGCUUUAUUCAUCGGUUUAGUUCUUGGACAGAUUCGGCUUGUUGAAAAUCAAUCUUGGAGAUCGAUUUCGUGUUUUUGCAUUCCGAAAACAUCUAUUCAUAAGAUCUUUGAUUCUUGGCUGUUCUUGAUUGUUUUGGGGAUCUUAAUUUCCAGAUCUGAUUUGUUUUUAAUCUUAUUCUUUGUUUUGAUUUCAGAUCUGUUCGAUUGGAGCUUUCGUAGGAGUUUCUCGUGACUUGGCAACUCGAUCUUGGUCCGCGCGCCUCCGUACCAUUUGGUAUCAGAUUUUGGGCGUUUUGGGUGUUCUUGGUUGAUUUCUAAACUGAUCUCUAUUUUUUAAAGCACAAACAGCUGUUUUACCCAGAAAAAUUGUUUGAAAAAAAUUCAUUUGAUUGGGUAAACAUUGUCCAAUUGAUCUGAAAUUUUACAUACAUAUUUUUGGCACUGUUAUAGAAUAUAAAAAAAUUAAUCCGGAAAAAAAAUCAGUCAAAAAAGUCAAAAAAAUCAAAAAACACAAAAUUCAAUAAAAAUUUAAAAAAAGAUUCAGCGGGUUGAAUUUGGUGCCAAAAAUUUUCAGAUCUAAAAUUCAAUAUAUAAGGACAUUCCAUAUUUAAUUUCGUGAUUUUUGGAGAUCGGGAACACCUCAAACGAAGUUGUCAAGUUACUCCGUAGUUUUUUCGGGUUUUCUAUUUUCAGCAAUUUUUAUUGAUUCUUAGCUGUAGGUUUUCAUUUGUUUGCUUUUUAUUCUCCUUUUACAAUAUCUAACACCUUCUUGUUUCUUGUGUUAGUAGGAUUUAAACGUGUGCACAAUCCUUCCUCGGUGCAACACGAAUCACUUGGUGUCUCGUCAGUUUUUGGCAUCCUAGUGCAAAUUAGGAUUCUUUGGUAGUUUGGUUCACACUCUCUAAUUUGUUGAUAUAAACUCUGAUAAAGAACUCAAAAGAUUGAAUUCGACCUCAUUGAGAAUUUGAUUUUUCUUUUUGAGUGAUUAAUGGUGAGGUUUGCUAACUUUUAUUUUUGAGUGUUGAGUGUUUAUUUUUUACAAUUUUGAAGAUGUCUAAAGGUGAUAAUAAUGAUGCACUUAUGAAAGUCCAACAACAGUUAGACGGACAUACUGCUGCAAUCACACAAAUAAAUGCUACACUUCAAGCAUUGAAUACUACUUUGAAUGAGGUACGAGUGAAUCAAAAACAUCAAUAUCGAGAUCCAAUUAAGGAAGAUAGGGAUAACCAGCCCCAUAGGUGCAGCCCUCAACGUGUCCCUAGAAUGGAUGAUGAUUUUCAUGAUCGUGGACAAUCAUCUUUGGCAAAACCAAAGAGCGAGCAGCAACGAGAACAUCUCUUUCAUACUCACUGCCAUGUACAAGGUAAGCUUUGUAGAGUUAUUAUUGAUGGUGAAAGUUGCUCAAACAUAGCCAGCACGACGAUGGUGGAAAAGCUUUGCUUAACCACUACCAAGCAUCCACAACCUUAUCAACUACAAGGGCUUAGCAACGAAGGCCAAUUUAGGGUCACUCAACAAGUGUGCAUCGCCUUUUCUAUCGGUAAGUAUCAAGACAAAGUUGUGUGCGACGUAAUGCCUAUUCAAGCCUGCCAUUUGUUGCUAGGAGAACCAUGGCAACUGGAUCGAAAAGUCACUCACGAUGGUCGUACCAAUAGGUAUUCUUUCAAACAUCAAGGAAAGAAACUCACCUUAGUGCCGCUCACUCUGAAACAAGUCCAUGAGGACCAAAUCAAACUGAAAAAUUAUGUUAAAACAAGUGAGGAAAAAGAAAAGGAGAAUGAAAAAGAGCAAAAAGAGAUUGAGAGUGAAAAAGAAAUUGAAGAAAGAAGAGAAAAUGAAUUAGAAAAAGAAACAAAAGAAAAAGACGUGGAAAGGGUAGUGAGGAAUGUUUCCACUAACCAAGAUAUGAAUUUUUCUUGUGUUGCUACUUUUCAGGUUCCCGAAAGAUCGAAAGAUAACUUUCAACUUCAAUACCUCUCAAAUUAAAGACGCUUUCAUACGAUCAACUUAGGCAAAGAUGAAAUCACACUACAUGAUCCCGAAGUGAUGCAACCUUAGCCUGAGAAAUUACUACCGAAUCCAUUGAGCUACCACGAGGACCAAUAACUCGAUCACGAGCUAAGAGAUUUUGAAAUGCAAUAGCAAGCUAUAUGGAACGAGCUUGGGAAGAGGGAGUGGCCGGAUUUGAUAGUCGUGCUUCAAACCGUUCAAAAGGCGUUACUUGCAAUUUAUUGCAAGCUGAAUUUGUUUCUUUUAAUUAACUUGUUUUAGUUUAAUAAAUAAGUUGCUGAUCAAUUAAUUUAACUUAUCUUAAAGUUUUAAUACAUGAGUUAGCUAUUGAACUUUAUUAAAUAAGAUGCUUCUUAAUUGAUCUAGUUCCUAGGAUUAUUUAUUGAUGCAUAAAUUAAGUUCUUUAAAUUAUGCUUCUUUAAUUAAACUAGUUGCUGGAAUAAUUAUUGCAUAUAUGUUUUAGUUCAUUUAUUUAAGUAAGUUUAAUAUGUGUUAUGAUUAAUAAGUGUUUUAAUGUGUUUAAUAAACUCAUUUUAAUGUGUUUAUUGCAGGUGACUUUUUAGCUUAUAGUGGUUACAAUUCAAGGCUGUUACACAUUUAAUAAGUGGCUGUUCAAGUUCUUUUGAGUUACAAUUAAAGGGGCUGUUAAAAAAAGGAGCUUAAAGAUCAUUAAAAGGAGUUUUUAAAGAGCAUUUUACGCCCUUUAAAAUUCAGCAGCAACUCUUCCACUUCCAGCCAUUUUUGGAGCUUUUAAGAGAAAUUAAUCAAGCCUUUGAAUGUCAUUAAGGAGCUGGUAAGAGAUGGUGUCUAUUCAACUAGCCAAAGACAACUAAAGAGUCAUUUUCUAAGCCAUUAAAGACAUUCAAAUCAGCUGAAUUAAAGUGAUUUUAUGGAAGGAGUUAUUUGGUUCAAAGAAUAAGAAAAGACAUCAGUUUUUUAUGGCACAUUAAGUGGAUGUUUUUGACCAUUCGGUUACCUUGUUCUAGCAUUAUAAAUAGAUGUAAUCAGCCAUAGAGGGAACAACUUUUUGCUGAAUAUAGAUGAAAUAUUUGAAUUGUGAGCUAUCCAAUUCUCUUUGUUCUUUCGGAAUUGAUUUGACUUAUCAAGCAUAGCUUGUGGUGUCCAUCUUUUCUUUGUUGCUGAACUUAUCACCUUUGGUGUGGCAUUCAAUAUACCUUUGGUUCCUAUCAUAGUUGAUAGUGGGUCAAGGUUCCUUUCCUGUUUCCUUUAAUCGAAAACACCUAAAGACCAUUUUGAGAUUCGGGUCAACAAUUCGUUAUUGUUGGUUCAUUUUCGGUCUUAGCCAAUUAAUUUGUUAUUGUUUCCUCUUUAUUUUGUUUAUUACCUUUGUUUGAAGCCAUUAUCUCUAUUUUGUUUCAUUUUAAAACCGAAACGAAUCCAUCCUUACUCAAUUCACGAUUGGGCAACACAUACGACUCAAAACAUCACGAGACGAGUUCGUAUCAAAUUGGUAUCAGAGCUAGCGAAUUUGGAGUAAGAAUCGACAUUGUCGGCAAUACGGUAUAGUAGUUUCUUCAAAAAAAAUUCAAAAAAAAAAUUCAAAAAAAAUUCAAAAAAAAAAUUUGGUUUCCAUUCAAACUCAAGAGAUUGGAUAUCAAGUUGAAAAAAAAAAUUCGUGAAAAAAAAAUUCGCGAAAAAAAAAAUUUCGUGAAAAAAGAAGAAGCUAGUUUUGAAAUUUUGUUGUUGUUUGCUGCCCAAAUUAUAGUUAUUACUACCUUCUACUAUUUCGCCACAUCUAACCUUUCAUUUCUUGAUUCAAGCCUACUUUCCUUUGUCCUACAAUAUUCUUACCAAGCCCAAACAUCAAGGUUAUAAGCCGACCCACAACAACUGCUUUUUAAGUUUAAAUNNNNNNNNNNNNNNNNNNNNNNNNNNNNNNNNNNNNNNNNNNNNNNNNNNNNNNNNNNNNNNNNNNNNNNNNNNNNNNNNNNNNNNNNNNNNNNNNNNNNNNNNNNNNNNNNNNNNNNNNNNNNNNNNNNNNNNNNNNNNNNNNNNNNNNNNNNNNNNNNNNNNNNNNNNNNNNNNNNNNNNNNNNNNNNNNNNNNNNNNNNNNNNNNNNNNNNNNNNNNNNNNNNNNNNNNNNNNNNNNNNNNNNNNNNNNNNNNNNNNNNNNNNNNNNNNNNNNNNNNNNNNNNNNNNNNNNNNNNNNNNNNNNNNNNNNNNNNNNNNNNNNNNNNNNNNNNNNNNNNNNNNNNNNNNNNNNNNNNNNNNNNNNNNNNNNNNNNNNNNNNNNNNNNNNNNNNNNNNNNNNNNNNNNNNNNNNNNNNNNNNNNNNNNNNNNNNNNNNNNNNNNNNNNNNNNNNNNNNNNNNNNNNNNNNNNNNNNNNNNNNNNNNNNNNNNNNNNNNNNGAGAACAACUUAAACGAUGAGAUCUUGAGUUUAAUCAAUGCUGGAAAACAAACAAGAACAGUAAAAUAUUAGAUAUAGAUUCGGCAUCAACAGAAAUAAAGAAAAGAAAUUGAACAGCAAAAAUUAAAAGAUAAGUCCUAAGAAGCCUUGAAAUCUCGAAAGAUCUCACAACUCCCUUCAAACGGCUCUAAUCUCCCCUCCAAAGAAUAUCAAUGGCAAGAAGAAGGUUGAAGAUGGCUCCCACAAUCAAAAGAUUGUUAAAACAACUUCUAAAGAAAACUCAAGAGAGAAUUCUUGGAGAAAACCCCAAAGAAAAUUCUGCACUCAACAAAUCUGAAAUUUGAUAGAAAAAAAUAAUAAUAAGUGUGUUUACAAAGGGUGGCUGGCCAAUGCUUAUAUAGGCCUCCAACAAAUCCUAAUCUCACAAGUAACUAAUAAAAAUUAAACCUAAUUAAUAAAAUAACAAGGUAAAUUUGGCUAUGCACUUAUAUGGGCUGUUUUGGGCCGAAUUUUACAUGUAAUGCUCCUAAAGAUUAAAAAAAUUAAAUUAAACAAGUAAGAUGUUUACAAAUUGGGCCCUUUGACAUUUUGGCCUGAUUUUCAACUAAGUAUGAAGAAAUUUCUUGAUUGGGCUAAAUUUUGGUUAUUGGGCCUCGCCUUCAAGAAUUUGGGCUUGUGAUCCAUCUCCUACCGAAAUUGGGUCGUUGACGCUCGUAAUGGAGAUCCAACGCGCUUUGGCUGCAAGAUUCAGUUUCUUGGACCAAGAUUUCCAAGAUUUGAAAUCUUGAUUUUCUUGAUUCUUGAAAUCACUCCGAACAGCAAAAUUGGGCCAAGAUUCGAUUUCUUGAUUUUCUUGAAAAUAAGAAAGUGAGUCUUGAUUUUCUUGAUUUGAGCCCAUCACCUUCUUAAGCUUGGGUUGGGUCUUUGUGACUCGUAUCAUUCCCCCUUCCUCAAAAAGAUUCGUCCUCGAAUCUAAAAAUCAAAUGAACUCAACUUUCCUCGAUCGAACGGGACUAAUGGCAAUUGAGUCCACUGAAAAGAAUAGCCAUGAAAUAGUAAAUAGCAACACAAACAAGCUUGUAGUCCAAUUAUAAGCAUAAUAGAACAGGUAUAACGCAUGUGAAUGGAUAGAUUCAGAUUACCAUGCAUUAAUCGACGGUCUAUAGAUUCACUCACACAUGCAUUAUCAAAAACAAGAAUCUUUUUAUCAACCAUCAAAAUAGAUUUAUCAUCAAUAAAUAAAAUAGGACAGUCAAGCACGUUUUGAUCUAAGUGUUUAUCAACACGAUCUUUGUCGCUAUCCGAGGAGUACAAAAGUGUUUCAAAGGUUUCAAGCAUCUUACCUUGAUAAGCAAAAGAAUAAUGGUCGAUUUUACCUUUUUCAUUUAAAACAAACCUUCGCUCAUCGGGGGCAUAGUGUAGUCGAAUCUCCGUUGUUGAGUUAACCUUUGUCAAAUGGAACUCAAACUUCAUGUACAACCACAUAAACUGUUUAAGGCACGAAUAUAAAUUGAAAACAAAUUUGGAAAAUUUCGUUACCUUAUUCUCCAAAACAGAUUUGGACAAAUUCGAGGAUUUUACACAAGGUAAAUCAAGAGAAUAACAAAUCACGCUUCUUUUCGUAAUGACUUUAUCCACCACAAUCGAAGAGUAACAAUUAAUCGAAUCAAAAUGAGGGAAUCUUUUAAGAACUAAGUCACCAAAAGUUUUAUCAAUAAUUUUCAAAUCUGCACUGGACUCGGUUUCUAAAAUUUCCUUACCUCGCUUACCUUCGGGAUCAUGUAGUGUGAUUUCAUCUUUGCCUAAGUUGAUCGUAUGAAAGCGUCUUUCAUUUGAGAGGUAUUGAAGUUGAAAGUUAUCUUUCGAUCUUUUGGGAACCUGAAAAGUAGCAACACAAGAAAAAUUCAUAUCUUGGUUAGUGGAAACAUUCCUCACUACCCUUUCUACGUCUUUUUCUUUUGUUUCUUUUUCUAAUUCAUUUUCUCUUCUUUCUUCAAUUUCUUUUUCACUCUCAAUCUCUUUUUGCUCUUUUUCAUUCUCUUUUUCUUUUUCCUCACUUUUUUUAACAGAAUUUUUUAGUUUGAUUUGGUCCUCAUGGACUUGUUCCGGAGUGAGCGGCACUAAGGUGAGUUUCUUUCCUUGAUGCUUGAAAGAAUACCUAUUGGUACGACCAUCGUGAGUGACUUUUUGAUCUUGUUGCCAUGGUUCUCCUAGCAACAAAUGGCAGGCUUGAAUAGGCAUUACGUCGCACACAACUUCGUCUUGAUACUUACCGAUAGAAAAGGCAAUGCGCACUUGUUGAGUGACCCUAAAUUGGCCUUCGUUGCUAAGCCCUUGUAGUUGAUAAGGUUGUGGAUGCUUGGUAGUGGUUAAGCAAAGCUUUUCCACCAUCGUCGUGCUGGCUAUGUUCGAGCAACUUUCACCAUCAAUAAUAACUCUACAAAGCUUACCUUGUACAUGGCAGCGAGUAUGAAAGAGAUGUUCUCGUUGCUGCUCGCUCUUUGGUUUUGCCAAAGAUGAUUGUCCACGAUCAUGAAAAUCAUCAUCCAUUCUAGGGACACGUUGAGGGCUGCACCUAUGGGGCUGGUUAUCCCUAUCUUCCUUAAUUGGAUCUCGAUAUUGAUGUUUUUGAUUCAAUUGCACCUCAUUGAUGGUAGAGUCAAAGCUCGAAGAGUAGCAGCCUGUUCAUCCAACUGUUGUUGGAAUUUUUUAAAUAUGUCACUAUUAUUAUCACCUGUAGACAUUUUUUUUAAAACCUGCAAAACACUCAACACUCAAAAAUAAAAGUUAUCAAACCUCACCGUUAAUCACUCAAAAAGAAAAAAUCAAAUUCUCAAUGAGGUCGAAUUCAAUCUUGUGAGUUCUUUAUCAGAGUUUAUAUCAACCAAUUAGAGAGUGUGAACCAAACUACCAAAGAAUCCUAAUUUGCACUAGGAUGCCAAAAACUGACGAGACACCAAUUGAUUCGUGUUGCACCGAGGAAGAAGUUGUGCACACGUUUAAAUCCUACUAACACAAGAAACAAGAAGGUGUUAGAUAACGUAAAGGAAGAAUAAAGGUAAACAAAUGAAAACCUACAGCUAAGAAUCAAUAAAAAUUGCUGAAAACAGAAAACCCAAAAAACUGCGGAGUAACUUGACAACUUCGUUCGAGGUGUUCCUGAUCUCCAAAAAUCACGAAAUUAAAUCUGGAGUGUCCUUAUAUAUUUAAUUUUUGAUCUGGAAAUUUUGGGCACCAAAUUCAACCCGCUGAAUCUUUUUUUAAAUUUUUAUUGAAUUUCGUAUUUUUUUGAUUUUUUGACUUUUUUGACUGAUUUUUUUGCGGGAAUAAUUUUUUUUAUAUUCAAUCACAGUGCCAAAAACAUGUAUGUAAAAUUUCAGAUCAAUAGGACAACGUUUACCCACUCAAAUGAAUUUUUUUUGAACAAUUUUUCUGGGUAAAACUGCUGUUUAUGCUUUAAAAAUAGAGAUCAGUUUAGAAAUCAACCAAGAACACCCAAAAUGCCCAAAAUCUGAUACCAAAUGAUAUAGGGUUGCGCGCGGACCAAGAUCGAGUUGCCAAGUCACGAGAAACUCCUACAAAAGAUCCUAGAAGAACAGAUCUGAAAUCAAAAACAAAGAACAAGAUUAAACCGAAUCAGAUUUGAAUUUAAAAUUCCCAAAUUCAAUUAAAAGAGCAGCAAGAAGAAAAGAAAUAGAAUCGAUGAAUCAAACGAAAUUGAGAAGAAAGAAAAGAUGCGAAUCUGCCAAGGGAUUGAUUCGGCCAAGAAUGCCCAAUUUCCAGCAAUCAAUUGAUUCCCAAAUUGAAAGAAAUCCAAUCGGCCAAACUCUAGGAAUUGGGGAUUUUUGGGUUCGAAUGGGUGCUGCCAAUAGGAGAACAACUUAAACGAUGAGAUCUUGAGUUUAAUCAAUGCUGGAAAACAAACAAGAACAGCAAAAUAUUAGAUAUAGAUUCGGCAUCAACAGAAAUAAAGAAAAGAAAUUGAACAGCAAAAAUUAAAAGAUAAGUCCUAAGAAGCCUUGAAAUCUCGAAAGAUCUCACAACUCCCUUCAAACGGCUCUAAUCUCCCCUCCAAAGAAUAUCAAUGGCAAGAAGAAGGUUGAAGAUGGCUCCCACAAUCAAAAGAUUGUUAAAACAACUUCUAAAGAACACUUAAGAGAGAAUUCUUGGAGAAAACCCCAAAGAAAAUUCUGCACUCAACAAAUCUGAAAUUUGAUAGAAAAAAAUAAUAAUAAGAUGUGUUUACAAAGGGUGGCUGGCCAAUGCUUAUAUAGGCCUCCAAGAAAUCCUAAUCUCACAAGUAACUAAUAAAAAUUAAACCUAAUUAAUAAAAUAACAAGGUAAAUUCGGCUAUGCACUUAUAUGGGCUGUUUUGGGCCGAAUUUUACAUGUAAUGCUCCUAAUGAUUAAAAAAAUUAAAUUAAACAAGUAAGAUGUUUACAAAUUGGGCCCUUUGACAUUUUGGCCUGAUUUUCAACUAAGUAUGAAGAAAUUUCUUGAUUGGGCUAAAUUUUGGUUAUUGGGCCUCGCCUUCAAGAAUUUGGGCUUGUGAUCCAUCUCCUACCGAAAUUGGGUCGUUGACGCUCGUAAUGGAGAUCCAACGCGCUUUGGCUGCAAGAUUCGGUUUCUUGGACCAAGAUUUCCAAGAUUUGAAAUCUUGAUUUUCUUGAUUCUUGAAAUCGCUCCGAAUAGCAAAAUUGGGCCAAGAUUUGAUUUCUUGAUUUUCUUGAAAAUAAGAAAGUGAAUCUUGAUUUUCUUGAUUUGAGCCCAUCACCUUCUUAAGCUUGGGUUGGGCCUUUGUGACUCGUAUCAUUCAGCAAAAAGUUGUUCCCUCUAUGGCUGAUUACAUCUAUUUAUAAUGCUAGAACAAGGUAACCGAAUGGUCAAAAACAUCCACUUAAUGUGCCAUAAAAAACUGAUGUCUUUUCUUAUUCUUUGAACCAAAUAACUCCUUCCAUAAAAUCACUUUAAUUCAGCUGAUUUGAAUGUCUUUAAUGGCUUAGAAAAUGACUCUUGAGUUGUCCUUGGCUAGUUGAAUAGACACCAUCUCUUACCAGCUCCUUAAUGACAUUCAAAGGCUUGAUUAAUUUCUCUUAAAAGCUCCAAAAACGGCUGGAAGUGGAAGAGUUGCUGCUGAAUUUUAAAGGGCAUAAAAUGCUCUUUAAAAACUCCUUUUAAUGAUCUUUAAGCUCUUUUUUUAACAGCCCCUUUAAUUGUAACUCAAAAGAACUUGAACAGCCACUUAUUAAAUGUGUAACAGCCUUGAAUUGUAACCACUAUAAGCUAAAAAGUCACCUGCAAUAAACACAUUAAAAUGAGUUUAUUAAACACAUUAAAACACUUAUUAAUCAUAACACAUAUUAAACUUACUUAAAUAAAUGAACUAAAACAUAUAUGCAAUAAUUAUUCCAGCAACUAGUUUAAUUAAAGAAGCAUAAUUUAAAGAACUUAAUUUAUGCAUCAAUAAAUAAUCCUAGGAACUAGAUCAAUUAAGAAGCAUCUUAUUUAAUAAAGUUCAAUAACUAACUCAUGUAUUAAAACUUUAAGAUAAGUUAAAUUAAUUGAUCAGCAACUUAUUUAUUAAACUAAAACAAGUUAAUUAAAAGAAACAAAUUCAGCUUGCAAUAAAUUGCAAGUAACGCCUUUUGAACGGUUUGAAGCACGACUAUCAAAUCCGGCCACUCCCUCUUCCCAAGCUCGUUCCACAUAGCUUGCUAUUUCAUUUCAAAAUCUCUUAGCUCGUGAUUGAGUUAUUGGUCAUCAUGGCAGCUCAAUGGAUUCGGUAGUAAUUUCCCGGGCUAAGGUUGCAUCAGAUCGAGAUACAAAAUUUUUGAGUCAUUUCUGGAGAACACUUUGGGGAAAGUUAGGCACAAAGCUUUUGUUCUCGACCACUUGCCAUCCUCAAACGGACGGGAAAACCGAAGUAGUGAAUCGAGUCUUGUCGACGUUGUUACGAGCCAUCAUUCGAAAGAACCUCAAAACAUGGGAGGAGUGCCUACCGCACAUAGAGUUUGCAUAAAACCGUUCUAUUCAUUCGGCAACUCAACAUUCUCCCUUUGAAAUCGUCUAUGGAUUCAAUCCUUUGACACCACUAGAUUUAAUUCCAUUGCCUAAUGAACAAAUUGUGAAUGCAGAUGCAAAAUGAAAGGCUGAAUUUGUGAAGGACUUACACCAAAAGGUGUGAAAGAACAUUGAAGAAAGGACUAGGAAAUAUGCGCAAAAAGCCAAUAAAGGUCGAAAGCGAAUCAUCUUUGAGCCUGGAGACUGGGUUUGGGUACACAUGAGGAAAGAAAGUGAUACGACCCUGCCCCGAAAACAUCCUUGGUUCAGUUCAUCAGGUGACAAUUGCAAAUUCUUGCAAGUUGAUCGAGAUUGUUUCAGUUCAAUGGAGCUCAAAUUCGAUCUAAUUUCAGCUCAUUAAAUUUGAACUUCAAUUUAUUUUAACUUAUGCUUUUAAAUAGUUGCUGGAAUAAAUUAAGUUCAUUAGUUAGUUUAUUAAUUUCAGCAUGCACAUGAUUUAAUUUGGGUCUAAUAAUUUUUAUAUUAAAUUUGCUUUAUUUUGAUACGACCACGUCUCGGGCACACUUUUGGACCAGCUCCCUAAGUAUUGUUUGCAAAUCCAUGCGAGCUGAAUUAGUUCAAUUCCUUCUCGUUGAGCUUCGUUUAGCUCGUUUCCAGCUCACUUGAGCUCAAGUCAGCUCAUUCGAGCUCAAUUCAGCUCAAUCUUAACCCAAUGAGCUUAUUUUUAACUUUCUAUAGUUUGCCUUUAUUUUGCUGAAAUAAACCAUUUAAUUUGUCUUUAGUUGAAUUAGUUGUUUAUUUUAAGUUAAUUAAUUUCUUAAAAUCUGGACAAAUAAUUAAUUAAGUGUUUUAAUUAUAUCUAAAUUAAAUACUUAAUUAAUUAUGAUGUUUUAAAUAUGUCUGAAUUUGUUAAUAUGUAUGGCCGAAUUUAAUGUGCAAAUUAUUGAGUUCAUAUGCUGCUAAUUUAAUGUGUCUGAAAUGCAUUUAACUUGCUGAUGUUAUUUGCUGCAGGUUCAUGAACGGAUUGGUGCAAUGUAUGGGAGUGUGCAUGCACAAUUGAGGUUCAACGGAUGGCAUUUAAAGUAGCACAUGCAUUUGGGACGUUCAUGCAAGAGGGAGUUGUUGAAAGUUCAUGUAUUUGAAGAUUCAUGGAUCAUAUUUAUGGGGGAAAGUACAUGGGACGUUUCAUGCAUGAUUCAUGCAUUUUCAAGAUGACCAUUCAAGUAUUUUAGGCACAUUAAUGCCUCAUUCAGCCAAGGGAGAUGUAGGAUCAUUAAAGGGCUGCACAUUCAUUGAAUUAUGGAGAUUCUUCAAGGUUAAAGAUGCAUGAAUGCAUCAAGUGAAGCAACAUGAUGAUUCGGUCAAUCCAUGCAUCAUCUCCAAACAUGAACGGAAAUUUUAAUGCUUCAUUCAUGCACAUUUAGCUGAAUUCAGCUACAGCAAAUUAAUGAUUUCUUUCUAGAAAUUUCUAACAUAUUCAUGGCUGAAUUCUUAGCCAUUAAGUUGCCCAUUCAGCUAGCUUAGUCUUGGCCUAUAAAUAGCUUACUUGUUUAUUGUAAAAGGUUAUAGAAUUUGAUCAAUUAAACUUAAUAGAACUUUUGUUCUUGUGAGGUUACCUCCUCUCUUCUUUCGUUCGAGUCUCGAAGCGACUUAUCUAGCUUGCUAGUGGUCUCAAUCCGAACUCCAUUGAACUUAUCACCGAAUCGGUGUGGCGUUCAACCAUUUUCCUAUACCUUUGGUGAUACGACCUUACCCCGGGCACACUUUUGGAUCAACUCCCUAAGCAUUGUUUGCAAAUCCAUGCGAGCUGAAUUAGUUCAAUUUCAUUUCGUUAAGCUCCGUUUAGCUCGUUUCCAGCUCACUCGAGCUCAAGUCAACUCACUCAAGCUCAAUUCAGCUCAAUCUUAACCCAAUGAGCUUAUUUUUAGCUUUCUUUAGCUUGCAUUUAUUUUGCUGAAAUAAACCAUUUAAUUUGUCAUUAGUUAAAUUAGUUGUUUAUCUUAAGUUAGUUAAUUUGUUAAAAUCUGGACAAAUAAUUAAUUAAGUGUUUUAAUUAUAUCUAAAUUAAAUAAUUAAUUAAUUAUGAUGUUUUAAAUAUGUCUAAAAUUGUUAAUAUGUAUGGCCAAAUUUAAUGUGCAAAUUAUUGAGUUCAUAUGCUGCUAAUUUAAUGUGUUUGAAAUGCAUUUAACUUGCUGAUUUAAUUUGCUGCAGGUUCAUGAACGGAUUGGUGCAAUGUAUGGGAGUGUGCAUGCACAAUUGAGGUUCAAUGGAUGGCAUUUAAAGGAGCACAUGCAUUUGGGACGUUCAUGCAAGAGGGAGUUGCUAAAAGUUCAUGUAUUUGAAGAUUCAUGGAUCAUAUUUAUGGGGGAAAAUACAUGGGACGUUUCAUGCAUGAUUCAUGCAUUUUCAAGAUGACCAUUCAAGUAUUUUAGGCACAUUAAUGCCUCAUUCAGCCAAGGGAGAUGUAGGAUCAUUAAAGAGCUGCACAUUCAUGGAAUUAUGGAGAUUCUUCAAGGCUAAGGAUGCAUGAAUGCAUCAAGUGAAGCAUCAUGAUGGUUCGGCCAAUUCAUGUACCAUCUUCAAGCAUGAACUGGAUUUUAAUGCUAUUUGUGUGAACAUGUUAAAUACAUGUGUGAACAGAAUUUAAGUUAGUGUGAACAACAUAGAUGCCAAAUAUCAAUAGGCAUUUUAGGCUUAUAAAUAGCUUACUUGUUUAUUGUAAAAGGUUACAGAAUUUGAUUAUUGAAAACUUGAUUGUGAGGUUUCCUCCUAUCCUAUUUCGUACGAGUCUCGUUCUGACUUAUCUAGCUCACUAGUGGCGUCAACCCGACUUCUUGAACUUAUCACCAUCCUGGUGUGGCGUUCAUCCACCUUUUUAUACCUUUGGUUCCUACCUUUCUAUAGGUAACGGGUCAAGGUCCAUCUUCGACAAUCCAUUAAACCCACCUUAAGCAAUAUAAGUCCCGGGGCAAUACUUCAUAUAGUAUUGAAUCAAUCUUCGCUUGAGUUCUAUUUUUCCAUUCCAUUUUAACUAUUAAAUUAUAAACAAUAUUUCUUUAUUUCACCGAGCCUAUCAAACAUCUACCCAAACCAUCUUUUGAACCCAUUUUCUCAACUUCCGCUAUAAAAAAUCAUCUAACUCCAUCUAUCUACAAAAUCGAACAAACUUCUCGUCGACGAUCGGGCAAUCAAGUGAAUCGACUCAAUCAACAGAGCCGGAUCACAUCAUUUGGUAUCAGAGCUACUAAAACGAGGAGUACCAAUGUUCGUAUCAAGCUCGGAAUAGGUUCGUAACGUAAAAAAAAGUCAAAAAAAAAAAUUGAGUUGGAAUUUAAUUUUUUUUCUCUUCCUUGUAUUUUGUUUACUAUUGUAUUGGAUUUAAAAAAAAGAGAAGAAAUUCAGAAAAAAAUUCAAAAAAGAAGUGACAAAAAAAUCGAGUUAAAAAAAAAGAAGAAAGAAAAAAAAGUGAAAAGUCUUGCGAGUUUUUAUCAUUAUCACUUAUUACUCCGAUCAUCAAGUUUCCCUUCCUACCAUUAUUUACCCAUCCCAACGCCACACUUUAAACCAAUUUUCUUCUUUAUUCAGCCUACCCUACACCCGACAUUAUCCCUUGUAACCAAUUCGAAACCGACCCUCAAGCAGCAAAUUAAGUGAUACGGGGUUGCGCGCGGACCAAGAUCGAGUUUCCAAGUCACGAGAAACUCCUACGAAAACCCUAAACAAUUAGAUCUGAAACGAAACAGAAAAUUAAAAGAUUAGAUUUUGAUUUUUCAGAUCUGAAAUAAAAUCCCCAAAUCAGCAAAGAAUCAAAUUGAGAAUAGAAAUAAGUGUUAGGGUUCUUGAAACCCUCAAGGAGAUUGUGAUUCUGCCCAAUUGAACACCAAGAUAGUUUUCCCCAAAUUUUGACAAUCUAAUUUCACCCAAAAAGAGUAUGGAAAAACCCUAGAAAUUGGGGAUUUUUGGGCUGAUUCCUUAAGAUAGAAAAAGGCUGAAAACACAAUAAGAACAGAAAAUAGAUUAGAUAAUGAUUCAGCACAAGUAGAAAUAAAGAAAGAAUUGACAGUAAGAAAUUAAAAGAUAAGUCCUAAGAAGCCUUGAAAUCUCGAAAGAUCUCACAACUCCCUUCAAACGGCUCUAAUCUCCCCUCUAAAGAAUAUCAAUGGCAAGAAGAAGGUUGAAGAUGGCUCCCACAAUCACAAGAUUGUUAAAACAACUUCUAAAGAAAACUCAAGAGAAAAAUCUUAGAGAAAACUCAAAGAAAAUUCUGCUCUCAACAAAUCUGAAAUUUUAAUAAUAAUGAUAAGUGUUUAACAAGGUAGACAGCCAUGCCUUUAAAUAGGCCUUAUAACUAGUCCUAAUCUAAUUAGAAAACUAAAAUAAAAAAAACUCCUAAUUAUUUUAAUAUGGAAAUUUGGUCAAAGGUCAUUUUAUCUGGGACUCUUGGACUGAAUAUUGACAUAAAAAUUUAAACUAAGUAAAUAAAUAAAUAAAUAAAUAAAAAUAAAAAUAGAACUUUACAACUUGGGCCUCUUUGACAAUUUGGCCUAAUUUUCAACUAAGUAUGGAUGGAUUUCUUGAUUGGGCUGGGAAUUUGCUUAUUGGGCCUCGCCUUCAAGAAUUUGGGCUUUUGUGACUCGUAUCAUUCCCCCUUCCUCAAAAAGAUUCGUCCUCAAAUCUGAAAAAUCAAAUGAACUCGACUUUCCCCUAUCGAACGGGACUAAUGGCAAUUGAGUCCACUGAAAAGAAUAGCCAUGAGAUAGUAAAUAGCAACGGAAACAAGCUUGUAGUCCAAUCAUAAGCAUAACAGAACAUGUAUAACGCAUGUGAAUGGACAGAUUCAGAUUACCAUGCAAACAAUCUAAUUUACUCACCACUGCCUCGUCAAAUAUUUGAAACAAAGAUGGACAUGUUUUAAGGCAUUCAGUCGUCUCACAUUGUUCCCACAAACCAUGAAUAAAUUACGAGUAAUAAAUCAAAUGGUAAACAUAAUCGUCACAAGUAGGUAUUUGAAAAGAUUCACAUGGUUCACAGAGUUGCAUAAUCAUACCAUGCAUUAAUCGACGGUCUAUAGAUUCACUCACACAUGCAUUAUCAAAAACAAGAAUCUUUUUAUCAACCAUCAAAACAGAUAGAUCAUCAAUAAAUAAAAUAGGACAGUCAAGCACGUUUCGAUCUAAGUGUUCAUCAACACAAUCUUUAUCACUAUCCGAGGAGUACAAAAGUGUUUCAAAGGUUUCAAGCAUCUUACCUCGAUAAGCAGAAGAAUAAGGGUCGAUUUUACCUUUUUCAUUUAAAACAAACCUUCGCUCAUCGGGGGCAUAGUGUAGUCGAAUCUCCGUUGUUGAGUUAACCUUUGUCAAAUGGAACUCAAACUUCAUGUACAACCACAUAAACUGUUUAAGGCACGAAUAUAAAUUGAAAACAAAUUUGUAAAAUUUUGUUACCUUAUUCUCCAAAACAGAUUUGGACAAAUUCGAGGAUUUUACACAAGGUAAAUCAAGAGAAUAACAAAUCACGCUUCUUUUCGUAAUGACUUUAUCAACCACAAUCGAAGAGUAACAAUUAAUCGGAUCAAAAUGAGGGGAUCUUUUAAGAACUAAGUCACCAAAAGUUUUAUUAAUAAUUUUCAAAUCUGCACUGGACUCGGUUUCUAAAAUUUCCUUACCUCGCUUACCUUCGGGAUCAUGUAGUGUGAUUUCAUCUUUGCCUAAGUUGAUCGUAUGAAAGCGUCUUUCAUUUGAGAGGUAUUGAAGUUGAAAGUUAUCUUUCGAUCUUUCGGGAACCUGAAAAGUAGCAACACAAGAAAAAUUCAUAUCUUGGUUAGUGAAAACAUUCCUCACUAGCCUUUCCUCGUCUUUUUCUUUUGUUUCUUUUUCUAACUCAUUUUCUCUUCUUUCUUCAACUUCUUUUUCAAUUUUCUUUUCUGUUUCACAUUCCUUUUCACUCUCAAUCUCUUUUUGCUCUUUUUCAUUCUCUUUUUCUUUUUCCUCACUUGUUUUAACAACAGAAUUUUUCAGUUUGAUUUGGUCCUCAUGGACUUGUUCCGGAGUAAGCGGCACUAAGGUGAUUUUCCUUCCUUGAUACUUGAAAGAAUACCUAUUGGUACGACCAUCGUGAGUGACCUUUCGAUCUAGUUGCCAUGGUUCUCCUAGCAAUAAAUGGCAGGCUUGAAUAGGUACUACGUCGCACACGACUUCGUCUUGAUAUUUACCGAUAGAAAAGGCGAUGCGCACUUGUUGAGUGACCUUAAAUUGGCUUUCGUUGCUAAGCCCUUGUAGUUGAUAAGGUCGUGGAUGCUUGGUAGUGGUUAAGCAAAGCUUUUCCACCAUCGUCAUGCUGGCUACGUUCGAGCAACUUUCACCAUCAAUAAUAACUCUACAAAGCUUACCUUGUACAUGGCAGCGAGUAUGAAAGAGAUGUUCUCGUUGCUGCUCGCUCUUUGGUUUUGCCAAAGAUGAUUGUCCAUGAUCAUGACAAUCAUCAUCCAUUCUAGGGACACGUUGAGGGUUGCACCUAUGGGGCUGGUUAUCCCUAUCUUCCUUAAUUGGAUCUCGAUAUUGAUGUUUUUGAUUCACUCGUACCUCAUUCAAAGUAGUAUUCAAUGCUUGAAGUGUAGCAUUUAUUUGUGUGAUUGCAGCAGUAUGUCUGUCUAACUGUUGUUGGACUUUCAUAAGUGCAUCAUUAUUAUCACCUUUAGACAUCUUCAAAACCUGUAAAAAAUAAACACUCAACACUCAAAAAUAAAAGUUAGCAAACCUCACCAUUAAUCACUCAAAAAGAAAAAUCAAAUUCUCAAUGAGGUCGAAUUCAAUCUUGUGAGUUCUUUAUCAGAGUUUAUAUCAACCAAUUAGAGAGUGUGAACCAAACUACCAAAGAAUCCUAAUUUGCACUAGGAUGCCAAAAACUGACGAGACACCAAUUGAUUCGUGUUGCACCGAGGAAGAAUUGGGCACACGUUUAAAUCCUACUAACACAAAAAACAAGAAGGUGUUAGAUAUUGUAAAGGGAGAAUAAAAAGCAAACAAAUGAAAACCUACAGCUAAGAAUCAAUAAAAAUUGUUGAAAACAGAAAACCCGAAAAACUGCGGAGUAACUUGACAACUUUUUUCGAGGUGUUCCCGAUCUCAAAAAAUCACAAAAUUAAAUCUGGAAUGUCUUCAAAUAUUUAAUUGUUGAUCUGGAAAAUUUGGGCACCAAAUUCAACCCGCUGAAUAUUUUUUUAAUUUUUUAUUGGAUUUAGUAUUUUUUCAAUUUUUUUACUUUUUCGACUUAUUUUUUUGCGGGAAAUAUUUUUUUAUAUUCAAUAACAGUGCCAAAAAUAUGUAUGUAAAAUUUCAGAUCAAUCAGAAAACGUUUACCCACUCAAAUGAAUUUUUUUUCGAAACUUUUUCUGGGUAAAACUGUUGUUUGUAAUUUAAAAAAUAGAGAUCAGUUUAGAAAUCAACCAAGAACACCCAAAACGCCCAAAAUCUGAUACCAAAUGAUACGGGGUUGCGCGCAGACCAAGAUCGAGUUGCCAAGUCACGAGAAACUCCUACGAAAACCCUAAACAAUUAGAUCUGAAACGAAACAGAAAAUUAAAAGAUUAGAUUUUUGAAUUUUCAGAUCUGAAAUAAAAUCCCCAAAUCAGCAAAGAAUCAAAUUGAGAAUAGAAAUAAGUGUUAGGGUUCUUGAAACCCUCAAGGAGAUUGUGAUUCUGCCCAAUUGAACACCAAGAUAGUUUUCCCCAAAUUUCGACAAUCUAAUUUCACCCAAAAAGAGUAUGGAAAAACCCUAGAAAUUGGGGAUUUUUGGGCUGAUUCCUUAAUAUAGAAAAAGGCUGAAAACACAAUAAGAACAGAAAAUAGAUUAGAUAAUGAUUCAGCACAAGUAGAAAUAAAGAAAGAAUUGACAGUAAGAAAUUAAAAGAUAAGUCCUAAGAAGCCUUGAAAUCUCGAAAGAUCUCACAACUCCCUUCAAACGGCUCUAAUCUCCCCUCCAAAGAAUAUCAAUGGCAAGAAGAAGGUUGAAGAUGGCUCCCACAAUCACAAGAUUGUUAAAACAACUUCUAAAGAAAACUCAAGAGAAAAAUCUUGGAGAAAACUCAAAGAAAAUUCUGCUCUCAACAAAUCUGAAAUUUUAAUAAUAAUGAUAAGUGUUUAACAAGGUAGACAGCCAUGCCUUUAAAUAGGCCUUAUAACUAGUCCUAAUCUAAUUAGAAAACUAAAAUAAAAAAAACUCCUAAUUAUUUUAAUAUGGAAAUUCGGUCAAAGGUCAUUUUAUCUGGGACUCUUGGACUGAAUAUUGACAUAAAAAUUUAAACUAAGUAAAUAAAUAAAUAAAUAAAAAUAAAAAUAAAAAUAAAACUUUACAACUUGGGCCACUUUGACAAUUUGGCCUGAUUUUCAACUAAGUAUGGAUGGAUUUCUUGAUUGGGCUGGGAAUUUGCUUAUUGGGCCUCGCCUUCAAGAAUUUGGGCUUUUGUGACUCGUAUCAUUAAGUCUACCGAGACAAAUCAUGAAAUUGUGAGAAGAGGUUGAGUGGAAAAAGGCACGAGUGAAAUUACAUCAAAGAAAAAGCCAAAAUUUGAAUGUAAACACGAGUGCGAGUGAAAAUCAUUAUUUCCUUUUCGAGCGAAUUUGAGAGGUUUGUGGUAAGGUAUUUAUUUUCUUUAUUAUUUUUUUAACAUCUUCUUGUCAUUACUUAAUCAUGUCUCGAGAAACAUUUCCCGAAUCAGAAUUCCAAUAUUUGAUGCAAGAGAUGCAUAGAAUGGUGAAAUCAAAAUUUGAUAAAUUGCAUGAUCGAUUGGAUCGAGUGGAGGAAAGAGCCCGAUGGAAGCCAAACUCACCGGGUGAAGAGACGGAGACAAGAUCAUCACGAAGGCACACAUCCAUUGAUUUUUUGGGAAGAGAUUCAUACCAUGAUUCCUAUUCAACGAGGAACUCAAGACGAAGCAAAGCAAGUUUUGAGUUUAAAGCUUUCCGAGGUGACGAACGAGAAAUCACAAGUAGUCCUUCGUAUGCACCGAGGUAUUCGUCCGCCAAGAAUCAAUCUCGAAGAGGUGAUCAUUUUUUGUAUGAAAGUCGUUCCAAUUAUACCCAACGAGAGUCAUUUCGUGCUGAUUCAUUUGUAACAUCUCCAUCCUAUAAUGAAAGAGCGAGGCAAAAAGAAAAAGAAAUAAGAAGAAAGGAAGGACAAGAAAUGUUGAUGAGAGAAAAUGAGCAUAUAUGGAAUGAAAUCGAGAGAUGAAAAAAAGAAAUGAAAGAAAAGGAACAAGAAAUUGAAAAAGAGAGUGAGAUUGAAGAAAGAAACGAGAGUGUAAAAGAAACGAGUGUCAUGGAAAAAGAAAUUGAGAUUGAAAAAGGAUGUGAAAAAGAGAAAGAAAUCGAAAAAGAAAUUGAGAUUGAACAAAAGUGUGAGGAAAAAGAGAAAAUUGAAAAAGAAAGAAAAGACAAUGAGUUAGAAAAAAAAACGAGAGAAAAGGAGGCAAAAGAGCAAGAAAAAGUGAGGAAUCUGUUUACUAAACCACAUGAGAAUUUGUCUUGUUUUGUUUCCUCUUUUCAGGUCUCCGGAAGGCCAAGUGACGAUAAUUUUCAACUCCAAUACCUCUCGAAGGAGAGAAGGUUCAUUUUCGCUGAAAAAGGUAAUGUUCUCAACUAUCCUAGUUCGCCUAUGCCAAAAGGUAAGCAAGGUAUGAAUGUUGAAAAUUUUAAAGCACUUCUGCCUUACUCGAUUGUUGAUGGACACACUGUUGAUGAUUUGGUCUUUAGAAAGAAUCUGAACUUUGACGUGGCUAUUUGUCAUUCUUUGAUUGAUGAUGAUCCAUUUGUUUUGUCUAAUGUUAAGAAGAUUCUUGCUUUUGAAAAAUAUCAUUUUGAUGGUAUUGGUUGUUUAUCUUUAACUUGCAAUGGAAUGCAUGUUUUGGAUGCGCAAGAUGAAAGUCCAUAUAAAAUGUUCAUUCUCACUGAUCAUGUUGAAAAGGAAUGGAAAUGUAUUGAUGAAUACGCCAUUGGCAAGAUUUUUGAUGAAGAGCGAAUAAAUCAGCACCAACAAAAUCUGGAAUUGUGUGAUCAAAAGUUGACAUAUCAUCUGCUUGGUUGUGUUGAUCAUGUGGAUUAUCUAAUUUUUGGUGUGAAAUUUCCAUGUUUUUGUAAAUCUUUUCGAAUGAAAUUUAAAGGGUUUGCUUGUUUGAAUUUGAGUAUGUUAACACCCUCGUUGUUUAAUUUGUGUAAAUUGUUGGAGAUAAAAGGACUCUUUUUGCCAUUUGGAUCGAGUAGUCAAAAUCAUGUCUUUAAUCCUGGAGUUUGCUAUUAUGAAUCAUCCAUGAAAGAAAGCAAGCAUCGUAAAAUUUGUUUGAAUGAAUGUGUAAACAAUCUUUGUUUGUAUGAUACUUUGUCUUUAAGUUUGAAAAUGAGCCAUGUGAAUCUUGUUGGUUUGUUAAGUCAAAAUCAAAAUUUUGUUUUCGGAGGAUGUUCUCAACUGUGGACUAAAAGAUCCGAACAUGUUUUGAAUGAUAAUGAUUUUGAGUUGCUUAGUGCUCUUUCUAUGAAGUCGGUCAUGAAAUUGCCAAAUCAAAUUGAAAUGGCAAGAGAAAAUUUUGUCUUCGACCCCGGUGAACACCAUUCUAUAUCAUUGCCUAAGGUAAUCGAACCAUGGAAAGUUGACUUCCAAAACCAUAGCUAUCAAAUGCCUUGUGAUUUAUGUUUGUUUCCAUCGAAGAAAAAGGUAAGAAUGAUUUCUAUUUUUGACCCCGGUAUUGGAUUAUUUGUUCAAACUGUGAAUCAAAUCUCAAAAAGUUCCUUUGUGUUUAAUCUUCAUCGUGUCACUAAUUCGUUUUAUUCUUUUAAAGGUGACAAUGUGAAGUGGUACCCUCCUAAAGAGGGAGGGCAUGCGAAUGAGCUUCUUUUGAUCCGAGUUAAUUGUGGCUUUCAGAAUCUUCAACGAUUUUUCGCGAGUAAAUGGCCCGAUUUAGGGACAAAUCGCUUUAAAGAGGGAGGGGAUGAUACGACCAUGCCCCGGGCACACUUUUGGAUCAGCUCCCUAAGCAUUGUUUGCAAAUCCAUGCGAGCUGAAUUAGUUCAAUUUCAUUUCGUUAAGCUCCGUUUAGCUCGUUUCCAGCUCACUCGAGCUCAAGUCAACUCACUCAAGCUCAAUUCAGCUCAAUCUUAACCCAAUGAGCUUAUUUUUAGCUUUCUUUAGCUUGCAUUUAUUUUGCUGAAAUAAACCAUUUAAUUUGUCAUUAGUUAAAUUAGUUGUUUAUCUUAAGUUAGUUAAUUUGUUAAAAUCUGGACAAAUAAUUAAUUAAGUGUUUUAAUUAUAUCUAAAUUAAAUACUUAAUUAAUUAUGAUGUUUUAAAUAUGUCUAAAAUUGUUAAUAUGUAUGGCCAAAUUUAAUGUGCAAAUUAUUGAGCUCAUAUGCUGCUAAUUUAAUGUGUUUGAAAUGCAUUUAACUUACUGAUUUAAUUUGCUGCAGGUUCAUGAACGGAUUGGUGCAAUGUAUGGGAGUGUGCAUGCACAAUUGAGGUUCAAUGGAUGGCAUUUAAAGGAGCACAUGCAUUUGGGACGUUCAUGCAAGAGGGAGUUGCUAAAAGUUCAUGUAUUUGAAGAUUCAUGGAUCAUAUUUAUGGGGGAAAAUACAUGGGACGUUUCAUGCAUGAUUCAUGCAUUUUCAAGAUGACCAUUCAAGUAUUUUAGGCACAUUAAUGCCUCAUUCAGCCAAGGGAGAUGUAGGAUCAUUAAAGAGCUGCACAUUCAUGGAAUUAUGGAGAUUCUUCAAGGCUAAGGAUGCAUGAAUGCAUCAAGUGAAGCAUCAUGAUGGUUCGGCCAAUUCAUGUACCAUCUUCAAGCAUGGACUAGAUUUUAAUGCUAUUUGUGUGAACAUGUUAAAUACCUGUGAUACGAGUCACAAAAGCCCAAAUUCUUGAAGGCGAGACCCAAUAAGCAAAUUCCCAGCCCAAUCAAGAAACCAUCCAUACUUAGUUGAAAAUCAGGCCAAAUUGUCAAAGUGGCCCAAGUUGUAAAGUUUUAUUUUUAUUUAUUUAUUUAUUUAUUUAUUUACUUAGUUUAAAUUUUUAUGUCAAUAUUCAGUCCAAGAGUCCUAGAUAAAAUGACCUUUGACCGAAUUUCCAUAUUAAAAUAAUUAGGAUUUUUUUUUUAUUUUAGUUUUCUAAUUAGAUUAGGACUAGUUAUAAGGCCUAUUUAAAGGCAUGGCUGUCCACCUUGUUAAACACUUAUCAUUAUUAUUAAAAUUUCAGAUUUGUUGAGAGCAGAAUUUUCUUUGAGUUUUCUCCAAGAUUUCUCUCUUGAGUUUUCUUUAGAAGUUGUUUUAACAAUCUUGUGAUUGUGGGAGCCAUCUUCAACCUUCUUCUUGCCAUUGAUAUUCUUUGGAGGGGAGAUUAGAGUCGUUUGAAGGGAGUUGUGAGAUCUUUCGAGAUUUCAAGGCUUCUUAGGACUUAUCUUUUAAUUUCUUACUGUCAAUUCUUUCUUUAUUUCUACUUGUGCUGAAUCAUUAUCUAAUUUAUUUUCUGUUCUUAUUGUGUUUUCAGCCUUUUUCUAUCUUAAGGAAUUAGCCCAAAAAUCCCCAAUUUCUAGGGUUCUUGCCGAUUCAUCCAUACUCUUUUUUGGGAGAAAUUAGAUUGCCGAAAUUUGGGGAAAACUAUCUGGAUGUUCAAUUGGGUAGAAUCGCAAUCUCUUCUAGGGUUUCAAGAUUCCUUAUUAACACUUAUUUCUAUUCUCUAUUUGAUUCUUUACUGUUUUGGGGAUUUUAUUUCAGAUCUGAAAAUUCAAAAAUCUAAUCUUUUAAUUUUCUGUUUCGUUUUAGAUCUAAUUGUUUAGGGUUUUUGUAGGAGUUUCUCGUGACUUGGCAACUCGAUCUUGGUCCGCGCGCAACCCCGUAUCAUUUGGUAUCAGAUUUUGGGCAUUUUGGGUGUUCUUGGUUGAUUUCUAAACUGAUAUCAAUAUUUUAAAGCAAAAACAGCAGUUUUACCCAGAAAAAUCUUUCAAAAAAAUUUUAUUUGAGUGGGUAAACAUUGUCAAAUUGAUCUGAAAUUUUACAUACAUAUUUGUGGCACUGUGAUUGAAUAUAAAAAAUUUAUUCCUGCAAAAAAAGUAGUCAAAAAAGUCAAAAAAUCGAAAAAAAGAUAAAAUCCAAUAAAAAUUUAAAAAAAUUCAGCGGGUUGAGUUUAGUGCCCAAACUUUCCAGAUCAAAAAUUAAAUAUUUAAGGACAUUCGAGAUUUAAUUUUGUGAUUUUUUGAGAUCGGGAACACCUCGAACGAAGUUGUCAAGUUACUCCACAGUUUUUCGGGUUUUCUGUUUUUAGCAAUUUUUAUUGAUUCUUAGCUGUAGGUUUUCAUUUGUUUGCUUUUUAUUAUACUUUUAAAAUAUCUAACACCUUCUUGUUUCUUGUGUUAGUAGGAUUUAAACGUGUGCACAAUCCUUCCUCGGUGCAACACGAAUCACUUGGUGUCUCGUCAGUUUUUGGCAUCCUAGUGCAAAUUAGGAUUCUUUGGUAGUUUGGUUCACACUCUCUAAUUGGUUGAUAUAAACUCUGAUAAAGAACUCACAAGAUUGAAUUCGACCUCAUUGAGAAUUUGAUUUUUCUUUUUGAGUGAUUAAUGGUGAGGUUUGCUAACUUUUAUUUUUGAGUGUUGAGUGUUUAUUUUUUACAGGUUUUGAAGAUGUCUAAAGGUGAUAAUAAUGAUGCACUUAUGAAAGUCCAACAACAGUUAGACAGACAUACUGCUGCAAUCACACAAAUAAAUGCUACACUUCAAGCAUUGACUACUACUUUGAAUGAGGUACGAGUGAAUCAAAAACAUCAAUAUCGAGAUCCAAUUAAGGAAGAUAGGGAUAACCAGCCCCAUAGGUGCAACCCUCAACGUGUCCCUAGAAUGGAUGAUGAUUGUCAUGAUCAUGGACAUCAUCUUUGCCAAAACCAAAGAGCGAGCAGCAACGAGAACAUCUCUUUCAUACUCGCUGCCACGUACAAGGUAAGCUUUGUAGAGUUAUUAUUGAUGGUGAAAGUUGCUCGAACAUAACCAGCACGACGAUGGUGGAAAAGCUUUGCUUAACCACUACCAAGCAUCCACGACCUUAUCAACUACAAGGGCUUAGCAACGAAGGCCAAUUUAGGGUCACUCAACAAGUGCGCAUCGCCUUUUCUAUCGGUAAGUAUCAAGACGAAGUUGUGUGCGACGUAAUGCCUAUUCAACCCUGCCAUUUGUUGCUAGGAGAACCGUGGCAACUGGAUCGAAAAGUCACUCACGAUGGUUGUACCAAUAGGUAUUCUUUCAAGCAUCAAGGAAAGAAACUCACCUUAGUGCCGCUCACUCUGGAACAAGUCCAUGAGGACCAAAUCAAACUGAAAAAUUCUGUUAAAACAAGUGAGGAAAAAGAAAAAGAGAAUGAAAAAGAGCAAAAAGAGAUUGAGAGUGAAAAAGAAAUUGAAGAAAGAAGAGAAAAUGAAUUAGAAAAAGAAACAAAAGAAAAAGACGUGGAAAGGGUAGUGAGGAAUGUUUCCACUAACCAAGAUAUGAAUUUUUCUUGUGUUGCUACUUUUCAGGUUCCCGAAAGAUCGAAAGAUAACUUUCAACUUCAAUACCUCUCAAAUGAAAGACGCUUUCAUACGAUCAACUUAAGCAAAGAUAAAAUCACACUACAUGAUCCCGAAGGUAAGCGAGGUAAGGAAAUUUUAGAAACCGAGUCCAGUGCAGAUUUGAAAUUUAUUGAUAAAACUUUUGGUGACUUAGUUCUUAAAAGAUCCCCUCAUUUUGAUCCGAUUAAUUGUUACUCUUCGAUUGUGGUUGAUAAAGUCAUUACGAAAAGAAGCGUGAUUUGUUAUUCUCUUGAUUUACCUUGUGUAAAAUCCUUGAAUUUGUCCAAAUCUGUUUUGAAGAAUAAGGUAACAAAAUUUUCCAAAUUUGUUUUCAAUUUAUAUUCGUGCCUUAAACAGUUUAUGUGGUUGUAAAUGAAGUUUGAGUUCCAUUUGACAAACGUUAACUCAACAAUGAAGAUUCGACUACACUAUGCCCCCGAUGAGCGAAGGUUUGUUUUAAAUGAAAAAGGUAAAAUCGACCCUUAUUCUUCUGCUUAUCGAGGUAAGAUGCUUGAAACCUUUGAAACACUUUUGUACUCCUCGGAUAGUGAUAAAGAUCGUGUUGAUGAACACUUAGAUCGAAACGUGCUUGACUGUCCUAUUUUAUUUAUUGAUGAUCUAUCUGUUUUGAUGGUUGAUAAAAAGAUUCUUGUUUUGAUAAUGCAUGUGUGAGUGAAUCUAUAGACCGUCGAUUAAUGCAUGGUAUGAUUAUGCAACUCUGUGAACCAUGUGAAUCUUUUCAAAUACCUACUUGUGACGAUUAUGUUUACCAUUUGAUUUAUUACUCGCAAUUUAUUCAUGGUUUGUGGGAACAAUGUGAGACGACUGAAUGCCUUAAAACAUGUCCAUCUUUGUUUCAAAUAUUUGACGAGGCAGUGGUGAGUAAAUUAGAUUGUUUGCAUGGUAAUCUGAAUCUGUCCAUUCACAUGCGUUAUACCUGUUCUAUUAUGUUUAUGAUUGGACUACAAGCUUAUUUCCAUUGCUAUUUACUAUCUCAUGGCUAUUCUUCUCAGUGGACUCAAUUGCCAUUAGUCCCGUUCGAUAGAGGAAAGUCGAGUUCAUUUGAUUUUUCAGAUUCGAGGACGAAUCUUUUUGAGGAAGGGGGGAAUGAUACGAGUCACAAAAGCCCAAAUUCUUGAAGGCGAGGCCCAAUAAGCAAAUUCCCAGCCCAAUCAAGAAAUCCAUCCAUACUUAGUUGAAAAUCAGGCCAAAUUAUCAAACUGGCCCAAGUUGUAAAGUUUUAUUUUUAUUUUUAUUUAUUUAUUUAUUUACUUAGUUUAAAUUUUUAUGUCAAUAUUCAGUCCAAGAGUCCUAGAUAAAAUGACCUUUGACCGAAUUUCCAUAUUAAAAUAAUUAGGAGUUUUUUUUAUUUUAGUUUUCUAAUUAGAUUAGGACUAGUUAUAAGGCCUAUUUAAAGGCAUGGCUGUCCACCUUGUUAAACACUUAUCAUUAUUAUUAAAAUUUCAGAUUUGUUGAGAGCAGAAUUUUCUUUGAGUUUUCUCCAAGAUUUCUCUCUUGAGUUUUCUUUAGAAGUUGUUUUAACAAUCUUGUGAUUGUGGGAGCCAUCUUCAACCUUCUUCUUGCCAUUGAUAUUCUUUGGAGGGGAGAUUAGAGCCGUUUGAAGGGAGUUGUGAGAUCUUUCGAGAUUUCAAGGCUUCUUAGGACUUAUCUUUUAAUUUCUUACUGUCAAUUCUUUCUUUAUUUCUACUUGUGCUGAAUCAUUAUCUAAUUUAUUUUCUGUUCUUAUUGUGUUUUCAGCCUUUUUCUAUCUUAAGGAAUUAGCCCAAAAAUCCCCAAUUUCUAGGGUUCUUGCCGAUUCAUCCAUACUCUUUUUUGGGAGAAAUUAGAUUGCCAAAAUUUGGGGAAAACUAUCUGGGUGUUCAAUUGGGCAGAAUCGCAAUCUCUUCUAGGGUUUCAAGAUUCCUUAUUAACACUUAUUUCUAUUCUCUAUUUGAUUCUUUACUGUUUUGGGGAUUUUAUUUCAGAUCUGAAAAUUCAAAAAUCUAAUCUUUUAAUUUUCUGUUUCGUUUCAGAUCUAAUUGUUUAGGGUUUUCGUUGGAGUUUCUCGUGACUUGGCAACUCGAUCUUGGUCCGCGCGCAACCCCGUAUCAACCUGUGUGAACAGAAUUUAAGUUAGUGUGAACAACAUAGAUGCCGAAUAUCAAUAGGCAUUUUAGGCUUAUAAAUAGCUUACUUGUUUAUUGUAAAAGGUUACAGAAUUUGAUUAUUGAAAACUUGAUUGUGAGGUUUCCUCCUAUCCUAUUUCGUACGAGUCUCGUUCUGACUUAUCUAGCUCGCUAGUGGCGUCAACCCGACUUCUUGAACUUAUCACCAUCCUGGUGUGGCGUUCAUCCACCUUUUUAUACCUUUGGUUCCUACCUUUCUAUAGGUAACGAGUCAAGGUCCAUCUUCGACAAUCCAUUAAACCCACCUUAAGCAAUAUAAGUCCCGGGGCAAUACUUCAUAUAGUAUUCAAUCGUUCUUCGCUUGAGUUCUAUUUUUCCAUUCCAUUUUAACUAUUAAAUUAUUAACAAUAUUUCUUUAUUUCACCGAGCCUAUCAAACAUCUACCCAAACCAUCUUUUGAACCCAUUUUCUCAACUUCCGCUAUAAAAAAUCAUCUAACUCCAUCUAUCUACAAAAUCGAACAAACUUCUCGUCGACGAUCGGGCAAUCAAGUGAAUCAACUCAAUCAACCGAGCCAGAUCACAUCAUUUGGUUCUUACCUCCAUAUAGGUAACGGGUCAAGGUCCACUUCUAUCCUUCAUCAAAAUUCACGUUAAGCAAUAUAAGACUCGGGGCAAUACUUUUUAGUAUUGAAUCAUUCUUAAAGUUUGAGUUCUUCAUCCAUUUCCAUUUAUUUAUCAUCUUUGUAACUUAAUUCUUUGUUAAACCGAACUUAUCUUUCAUCAAACCAAAACCCAUCCUUUGAACCCAUUUUGCCUACCUUCCGCUUAUAAAACAUUCAAACUCCAUCUAUCUACAAAUUUGAAUGAGCUUCUCGUCGACGAUUGGGCAUCUUAAGUGAACCCGACUCAAUCAAUCGGGUCGGAUCACAUCAUUUUUGGUAUCAGAGCUUGCAAAAUGAGGAGCACCGACAUUCGUAACAAGGCCGUAAGUAGGUUCGGAACGUGAAAAAAAAUAAAAAAAUAAAAUUUCGAGUUGUAAUUUAAUUUUUUUCCUUCCUUGUAUUUACCUUACUAUUGUAUUGGAGUAUCACAAAAAAAUCAAAAUUCAAAAAAAAUUCAAAAAAAAAGAAAAAAAAAGAAAAAAAGUAAAAAAAAAAGAAGUGAAAAGUCUUGCGAGUUUUAUUUUCAUCUCUUAUUACUCUGAUCAUCAAGUUUCCCUUCCUACCAUUAUUUACCCAUCCCAACGCCACACUUUAAACCAAUUUUUUUCUUUGUUCAGNNNNNNNNNNNNNNNNNNNNNNNNNNNNNNNNNNNNNNNNNNNNNNNNNNNNNNNNNNNNNNNNNNNNNNNNNNNNNNNNNNNNNNNNNNNNNNNNNNNNNNNNNNNNNNNNNNNNNNNNNNNNNNNNNNNNNNNNNNNNNNNNNNNNNNNNNNNNNNNNNNNNNNNNNNNNNNNNNNNNNNNNNNNNNNNNNNNNNNNNNNNNNNNNNNNNNNNNNNNNNNNNNNNNNNNNNNNNNNNNNNNNNNNNNNNNNNNNNNNNNNNNNNNNNNNNNNNNNNNNNNNNNNNNNNNNNNNNNNNNNNNNNNNNNNNNNNNNNNNNNNNNNNNNNNNNNNNNNNNNNNNNNNNNNNNNNNNNNNNNNNNNNNNNNNNNNNNNNNNNNNNNNNNNNNNNNNNNNNNNNNNNNNNNNNNNNNNNNNNNNNNNNNNNNNNNNNNNNNNNNNNNNNNNNNNNNNNNNNNNNNNNNNNNNNNNNNNNNNNNNNNNNNNNNNNNNNNNNNNNAGUGGCCAGCUGAAAUUUCCCUAUUAUUUCUCUUAAUUAGGUUUAAUUUUUUAUUAGUUACUUGUGAGAUUAGGAUUUUUUGGAGGCCUAUAUAAGCAUUGGCCGGCCACCCUUUGUAAAACACAUCUCAUUAUUAUUUCUUUAUCAAAUUUCAGAUUUGUUUGAGUGCAGAAUUUUCUUUGGGGUUUUUCUCCAAGAAUUCUAUCUUGAGCUUUCUUUAGAAGCUGUUUUAACAAUCUUUGGAUUGUGGGAGCUAUCUUCAACCUUCUUAUUGCCUUUGAUAUUCAUUGGAGGGAAGAUUAGAGCCGUUUGAAGGGAUUUGUGAAUUCUUUCGGGAAUUCAAGGAUUCUUAGGACUUUUCUUUAUCUCUUGCUGUUUCGAUUUAUUUCUUUAUUCCUACUUGUGCCGAUUCAUUAUCUAAUAUUUUUGCUAUUCUUGCUUGUGUUUCCAGCCGUGAUUAAACUCAAGAUCUCAUCAUUUAAGUUGUUCUCCUAUUGGCAACACACAUUCGAAUCCAAAAAUCCCCAAUUCCUAGGGUUUGGCCGAUUGGAUCUCUUUCUAUUUGGGGAUCAAUUGAUUGCUGGAAAUUAGGCAUUCUUGACCGAAUCAAUUCCUUGGCAGAUUCGCAUAUUUUCUUUCUUCUCAAUUUCGUUUGGUUCUUGAUUCUAUUUCUUUUCUUCUUGUCGACCAAAACCCUAAUUUUAUCCCAUUGAUUUGCUGAAUCUUUUUAAGAUUAAUUUGCUGUUGUGUUUGUGAUACGGGGGUUGCGUGCGGACCAAGAUCAAGUUGCCAAGUCACGGGAAACUCCUACGAAAGCUCUAAACGAACAGAUCUGAAAUUUAAAACAAAGAACAAGAUUAAACUAAUCAGAUCUAAAAUUAAAUCCCCAAAUUCAAUUAAAUGAGCAGCAAGGAACAAAGAACGAAUGAAUAAAUGUAUUCGGAGUUCAAAAAGAUGAAAUCGAACUCCAAUAGUGAAAUUCCACAAGCCGAAUAUGCCAAGAACACCAAAACAGUAAGUAGAUUGAAACAAUCAGAUUUUUAAUUGGAAGAUUAGGGAUUUGGGUGGCAAAAAUAAAAGAAAGAAAUAGAUGAAAUUGAACGGUUCAAGAAGUGAAUUUAAGUUGUGAUUCGGUCCAAUUGAACACCCAAGAUGAAUUGCCCAAAUUUCAGCAGCCAAAUUUCACCCAACAAGAAGAAAUAGAAAACGGCAAGAACCCUAAAUUUUGGGGAAUUUUGAAUCGAUUAGAUGCUGCCAAUAAAAGAACCAAUUAAAUGAAGAGUUCUUGGAGUUUGAAUCAAGGCUGAAACACAAACAAAAACAGCAAAGAAAUUAGAUAUAGAUUCGGCAUCAACAGAAAUAAAGAAAAGAAAUUGAACAGCAAGAAUAAAAGAUAAGUCCUAAAGAUCCUUGAAAUCCCGAAAGAUCUCACAAAUCUCUUCAAACGGCUCUAAUCUCCCCUCCAAAGAAUAUCGAUGGCAAGAAGAAGGUUGAAUAUGGCUCCCACAAUCAAAAGAUUGUUAAAACAACUUCUAAAGAAAACUCAAGAGAGAAAUCUUGGAGAAAACUCAAAGAAAAUUCUGCUCUCUCAAAUCUAAAAUUUAAGAAUGAAUCUAAGUGUUAUGUACAAGGGGUGGCCGGCCAUGCCUUUAAAUAGGCCUCAAGUAAUCCUAAUCUAACAAGUAACUAAUAAAAUUAAACCUAAUUAAUAGAAUAAAAUAAAGGAAAAUUCGGCCAAGCAUAUAUAUGGGCUGUUUUUGGGCUGAAUUUUACAUGUAUGUUCCUACAGCUUAAAAAAUUAAAUUAAACAAUUAAAAUGUUUAUAAAUUGGGCCCGUUGACAUUUUGGCCUGAUUUUCAACUAAGUAUGAAGGAAUUUCUUGAUUGGGCUGGAAUUUGGUUAUUGGGCCUCGCCUUCAAGAAUUUGGGCUCGUGAUCCAUCUCCUACCGAAAUUGGGAAUAUGAGAAAUGUGGCCUAUCUAUGGAAGGAAUCUUUUGUUACUAGAACCCCUUCCUAGUGACUGUAAGCGAAAUGCAUUUAGUGAACGCCUGGGGGUACUGAGUUCCAUACUUUUUAUUAUAGAAAUGUUAUCUCUAUCUAAACGACUAAGUCUUCCAGUGAUCUCUCCCCCACCCAAAACCAUCCCUUCCAGCGUUAGCGUACAAGAAGGAGCUUUUGGCAGUGAGUCGAAAGUCUUAGUGAGAAGCCCUCUUAAGACUCUUUCCACUCUUCUCUGAGUGCCUUCAACAGUGCUUAGGUAGCGCUCACUGCGAGAUAGGCAGCUCAGCUUACUAUUAUUCCUACCCUAAUGUGUCAAGAAUAGAAUAGGUAGCACAGGUCAGCAAGCAUAACUAGAUCUAAGGUAUUUGCAUCAGAAAGUCUAUCCUACCCCAACCCACUUCUUGGUUCUUUCUACUAUAUAUAAUAUGUGACCAGAGAAAUGGGGAGAUAGGAGAGUCUCGAUCAUGUGAGAGAAUUAGGUAUGGAAAACUGACUCACAUACGAAUAACUCUUCUUAUGGCAGGAGCCUAGCCUAUUUUUUUAGAAAUGCAAGAGAGAGUACGCUAAUGUAGGAGUGUGCUGCCUAGCAAAGUACUACUCUUAGCAACUAGCUUUACUGAAAGCCUUAGUAAGUCAGUCUAGAAACUUCCUCUUAGCUUAAGGGGUGGGUUGGUUAGGUUUAUUGCACCAAAAAGUCAAGGAACUAAGAACGAAAAGAAGACGAACGAGCUAAAAUACCUCUUUGCUCUAAGAGAUAGUUGAUUCAAGCAGGAAAGGAAUGAGAGGAGCAUCAGCAUAAAUAUAAUAAAGAAGUUGUUUUCGAUUGACAUUAAGGAAAAUGAGUUCAAAUAGAAGAUUUAGGCUCAAAGACGGUUCAAUCCCCCGAGCGUUGACAUUGCCAGCUCCAGAAGACCAUCACAAACCAUUUGACCACACACAGGGGAGCCCACAACCUCGACCUCAGUAUGGAAAGCAUCUAAGGGGGUUUACCACUGAAUCGUUAGAGUCUGGGUGGUCAAUCUUCCUUCUUCUUUGGCAUCUCGACAGGUGGGCAUGAAAACAAGACUUGAAGAGGGCUCAGGUAUCAACGUCCUUAGCCCGCAUUCAUCAAUAUCAAUAAGAGUCGCAGUCGUAUAGGUAUAGGCUAGCGCUUCCUUGCUCGCAUCCGAAGUAGCGAUUCCCUUCCUCGCUCAGUAAAGUCAGAAGGAAAGGCAUAAAGCAAGUACUGCGAACCCCUUUAAGCACGAGAUUGGACAUCCUACUUUCUCCGCAUCAAGACCGCGUUCACCCCCUUUCCUUUCAAAACAUUGAAGGUCGGGUGAGAAUAAAGAGGGAGGGAGCACUCGUGGCACACUGACUAUAUCCGUUCGAGAAGAAAGCAGAGUUCCUAUUCACCGCUACCCCUGAGUGAAGAGUCGACUCAAAAGAGCAAUUCAAGAGACAAGCUUGCUUCUUCUCGCGGGUUGGCUUAAUUUCUCUUCUUUCAAUCAUGGAUGGUCAUAAUACUUUUGAGUCGACUCCUUUUCGUCAAGUGGCUAAGAAUCUUCUCUCUGUGGUUCAACAAUUUAGUGAAUCUUCUACCUUUUUUCGCACAAAGUGACAAUCCAAUUCAAUGUGUUUGCUUCGUGCAUGAAAGAGUGGAUUUGAAGCCAACUUUAUAGCACUCUGGUUAUCACAAAGUAGAGUUAGACCAUUAGGCUUUAUACCCAGCUCAGAGAGAAGGUGACGAUACCAAGUUCUUUCUACUGUUGCAUCCGACAUUGCACGAUAUUUUUCCUUUGCGCUUGAUCGAGAAAUUGUUCUUUGUUUCUUGCUACUCCAUAAGAUAAGUGAACCAGCAAAGAAGACACAAAAACCUGAAAUUGAUCGAUCUCCUUGAAUCAGGAUCUCCGCCCCAGUUAGCAUCUGAGUAAGCAACUAGAUUAGGUUGCCUUUUGACAGUAGGGAAAAAAAAGCCCAUCUACUAAUGUUCCUUUCACAUAACAAAGGAUUCUCUUGGCAGCUUGAAUAUGUAACUCACGAGGAUCAUGCAUGAAUUGACAUACUUGGUUUACAGCAAAUGUUAUAUCUGGGCGUGUAAAAGUGAGAUAUUGAUGUGCUCCCACAAGACUUCUAUACUUCUCUGGAUGUUUGACAGGGUUACUAUCUUUUUGUGAUAAUUGCUGUCCAAGAACCAUAGGGGUAGGUGCAGGUUUGCAAUCAUUCAAACCAAAUCUUUUUAGAAGAUCAAGAGCAUAUGUGAAGGAGGCUCCUACUAGCUGCACUGUAAAGUAAAGGGACUGCUUCCGCUUGAAAGGCUAAAAAGUUGAGUGACUACGCUUGACCUUUUUCAUUCAAUUGCUUGUCUUGGAAAAGACCUAAAGAUUGCUGUAAAAGAAAGAUCAAAUAGAUUUACGUUAGAGAAUUCUCUUGUUGAAAUAGCUUAUCUGCUUUCUUACUUGCUGACUUAAGACUUUAUGGAUGUAAUAACUCGGAUUUCAAAAAAGGCGAGGGCUCUUAUAACUCCAUUGUUAAGCAGAGGGAUGUUCUAAAUCUAUCUAUUUUAAAUAGAUUUUAGUUUAUUAUUACUACAUUUAAUAUUCAAAAUAGAAGAUAUAUUUAAUAUUUCGAGGUUGAGAAACUACUUUCCAAAGCUUUUUGUCUAUCCUUUGCCUGAUGGCUUUCCUCAAAUAAAGGUCUUUCUACUGGCUAGCCUUAGGAUUUUAUGGACAUUCAAAAAGAUAGGGAUUCAGAUGAAAUAGCAAAGAGAAUUCGAAGAGAGGAAUUGACUUGGGCUUACGACAUGGUUGUUUUCCCUUGGGGGGCUAUAUCUUUCUUCCAUGGUAGGGCUCUAGGGGCAGGGCAUCUGUGAAUGAAUCCUUUGACUUUUCCUCCUACAAGGGGAAGGGACUACUCAUAUGGCUCACACGGGGACAAUAGAUAGAGGUUUUUUUGAGAGCAAUAAACCUUGAACUCUUUAAGACCCUUAGAUGGAAUCACAAUCUCUGUUGUUCGCUAGGGGAAAAGCUAUCCAAGAGAGUUCUAUAAGUCCCGGUAUGCUACUUACGCUCGUUUAGUCCUUCUCCAUAAGAUUCAAAUAUAGCUGCUUUUUUCAAAGCAGGUCUUAGCACUGCACCUAGAUCCAAGGCUGCAACUCCAUCUGGUAAGGGGACUGCUGCAACGAGAACUUAAACUCAAAAUGAAUUUCAUCCCCCGAGAAUCUGCUAUCUCUAGCUUCCUUUCCUCCUUCUUCCUUUUCUGAUCCUGAUGGCUUGACAGAGUAAGGGACUAAUGAGACUGGGACUUAUAAUGGUAAUCUAGAAAGUGUUACCUCGGGGACUGCAUGCAACCUUUAACACUCAAACUGCAGGCUAGGCUUACCUUUUUUUAUUCUGCAACUGAAUUUGAUUGGGGACUGAGACUGCUACAAGAGGGAAUGCCCCUACCAUGGCAAGAGAUAGCCCUAUAACCUGGUUUUCAGCAGAUCUAGAAUAUCCUGCCCCUCUUUCAACAAACUUGCUUGCUCACUUCCAAUCUAACGAGAAAGAAAAUCUCUAACUGGUCCUAGAGAAGAACCUGAAUGGCUUACAGGGCACUCUCCAUGGCUAGAAGAGGGAAUGACAAGAUUAGGAUGAAUGGAAGCUAGCCCUAAAAGUAUAUGGGUGGCAACUCACCCUCAUACUAGAUAUGAGUCAGCAAAGAUAGGCCCUCGCUCGAUCUAUGAUAUCAGAGAAGAAUAUAGUUUAAGUUAUGGGGACUGCUACUGGCAUAUUACUCCCUUCAGUUAGUCUUCCCUGUUGGCUUGAAAAAUAAAUGUCUUGUUCACUCACUUGACCCUGUUUACUGCAUGAAAGAAAUCAUUAGCACAGGUGUUAUUUAUAUAUAAAGUGGAUCGCUUCUAAGUGAAAAGGAUGAAAUGGAAGGGAAGAAAGAAGUCAACUUAUCAUCCUCUUCAUUCCCAGAUGAUUAAGAAAAGAAACUUAAAAAAAAUAUCUCUUCAUAUGCCGAAGAUCGUACUAUUGAAAAGCAAAGAUAUUCACUAAGCCUAAGUCAGUCCUUACCCCAGAAAUCUUAGAUCUACGAAUAUCAAAGUCUGAUAGCAGAGUUCAGCUUAAAAAGCAAUAGCUUCGGAAGAGAUGCGCCUUUCGCCGUGUAUUCCCACAUUGAAUCGCAAUUGGUUGAUAAAAGAACUAUCUUCCCCUAAAACUUCGGAUAGAAAGAUGAAAUUUAUCCCACUAGUCAAUAUCUUAUACCAAUGUAAGGUUGGAUUGCCUUCUCCUUGCUACUCUCUCUUUGAAAAAGUUAUUUUACAAUUCCAACUCAGAAAUUCCCAGAGAAAGCAAAGCAGGAAGGAACUUUCCCAAGAUAGGCGCACUAGAUCUUUAUUCUAGGGAAAGCAAAUUUGAGAUGUAAGAAGGUCGGGUCAGCUUGAGACAGAUGUGGUUCUUCUGGGUUAGUCCCACUCAAUGGGAACUCUAUAUCAAAUCUCAAAGAGACGAGAAGGUUUUUCCAUGAAGGAAAACUCCAACCUAGCAAAGAAUUUACCUAUCUCAUCCCGUAGCUAUCUCAAUGGAACUGGAGGGCCUUAGGACUGCUAUUUCAUAGCUGGACACUGAUACGAUCCAGCCCGGUUAAUGAAUCCGAGUCGUUGUUGUGCCCGAUCGUGAAUUGGAGUAAUUUGAAAGCUUUACAAAAUAGGCUAGAAGAAAAGGAAUUAUUUAGGCUCAAUAAAGUUUUGUUGGUUUAGGAAAUGAAACAUAAAUCAAUGGAUGAAGUUUGGGCUAAGUAUUCAAAAGCCGAACUAACACAAUAAGAGUGUGUUAACCCGUAACUUAGGAGAAUGCUUAGGUUGGUAGGGUGUUGAUGGAAGGUUUGUUAAGUGGAUAGAAACUUCGACCCGCUAUCAAAAAUGAUAGGAACCUCAGUACGAAUCGAACGCCACACUUUUGGGAUUAAAGUGAUAAGUUCGGAUAGAAAGACGGGUUGACGCCACAAGGGUUACUUGAUAAGUCAGACGAGUCUUUGGAGAACAAUGAGAGUUGAAAACAAACUCACAAAGUAAACAAAUUUCAUAUAAAGUUUAAAAGUAUAUUGUCUAACCUUUUACAUGUUUACAAGCCAACUAUUUAUACUAAAACUAGGACAUGAAUAGCCAAUUCUGGCCAUUAAUAAGUAACAUGAAUCAGCCCAUGAACCGAUUUUAAUGAUAUAUGUUCAUCCAUUGAAUGACAUUUAAGUCACAUUCGUCCCCCCCUUGCCAUCCAUAGAUGCAUCCUUAGUCAUGAAGCAAAUGUUUGUUCAUCAUGGGUAAUAAAUUUGACUUCUAGAAUCUGCCCAUUCAUCCCUUCAAUUUGGAUGGUGCUUUUAAGGCUCCUUUGUUUCCCACGAAAAAGGCUCCUAGGUGAGCUCAAACGGCAGCUUAAAUGUAGGUUUUAAUUUGCUGCUCAUGCAUUCUCUUAAUUGAGACGGCACAUUAAUGGCUCUAUUGAAGGGACCGAAAUAGCACAUGGAGAAGAGGGAUUUUAAUGCCGUCCCAUGCAUAGGGAGAAGAAUGCAGCAACCAAUUUAAUGUCGUCCAAGCAUGCAUCAAAAUUCAAGAGCCAUUGAUCUUCACGAAAAGGCUCAUAGGAAAUAGGAAUCAGCAGCCCUUAAUGAGUCCUUUGCUAUGCACGAAAAUGGAUGUAUAGAAACACAAUGCAUGCUUCCUUUAAUGCCGUUCAUGCAUGCUUCUAAAGGAGAAGUCAACAGCUCUUUAAAUGCUUCCCUUUGCUAUUAAGUCUAUUGUAGACACAUUAAAUUCGGCAGCUAGCAUUAAACCUGCAUAAUAAAUUGUUCUUUAAAUUCGUCCCCAUAUCCAUGCACCUGCACACAUUUAAAUCAGCCAUUAACUCAAGUUUAAGGCAAAACAAAAUUGGGUCAACAAGGCAUAUUAAAUUCGGCUGUUUAGGAAAAAUGCAGCAGCCAACUUCCCUUUAAAUGUCGUUCCAUGCAUGGGAACAUCUCCUUAAAUGCAUGUUUCCUUUGCCAUUUAGCCGAAUUCAAUGACCUGCAGACACAAAAUAAAUUCGGUCAAAUAAUUCAUGCACAUUACAAUUAAAUUCGGCAGCCACAAGACACCUUAAAGUGGUUCAUUAAUUCGGCUGAAUUAAGUCAACAAUUAGACAUAUUAAAUUCGGCACUUUAAAGCACUAAAGACACAUUAAACAACAGCAUUAAAUCCGUCCAGACACAUUAAAAGCUGUACUAAAUAGAACACAUUUAAAUAGUCUUAAGACAAAUUUAAAGCAUGCAUUAAAACCAAUAAAACAUAUUUAAAAUGUCCAGAUUUCUUAAUUAAAUACUUAGUAAUUAUUUAAGCUAAAAUAACUAACUUAACUAAUUAAUUUAUUCCAGCAAAUUAAAUUAAAUGAGCUAGUGAGCUAAUAACGAGCUUAAUGAGCUGAAUUGAGCUCGAAUGAGCUGAACCAAAAAUGUUUCCGGGGCGGGGUCGUAUCAGACACUGGAAUGGAACUCCCUGAAUAUGAAAUUAUAUCGUUAGUCCUAAAUACAAGAGAAAGAUCUAUCGCCCCACCAUCUGAUGUGAUCCGGCCCGAUUAAUUGAGUCGGGUUCACUUAAGAUGCCCGAUCGUCGACGAGAAGCUCGUUCAAAUUUGUAGAUAGAUGGAGUUUGAAUGUUUUAUAAGCGGAAGGUAGGCAAAAUGGGUUCAAAGGAUAGGUUUUGGUUUGAUGAAAGAUAAGUUCGGUUUAACAAAGAAUUAAGUUACAAAGAUGUUAAAUAAAUGGAAAUGGAUAAAGAACUCAAACUUUAAGAAUGAUUCAAUACUAAAAAGUGUUGCCCCGAGUCUUAUAUUGCUUAAGGUGAAUUUUGAUGAAGGAUAGAAGCGGACCUUGACCCGUUACCUAUAUGGAGGUAAGAACCAAAGGUAUAGGAAGAUGGUUGAACGCCACACCGAUUCGGUGAUAAGUUCAAUGGAGUUCGAAUUGACACCACUAGCAAGCUAGAUAAGUCGCUUCGAGACUCGAACGAAAGAAGAGAGGAGGUAACCUCACAAGAACAAAAGUUCUAUUAAGUUUAAUUGAUCAAAUUCUGUAACCUUUUUACAAAGAGAAAAGAACUAUUUAUAGAUUACAUUAGAUAGCCAAAUAGACUAAGUAAAUUCGGCUUUAAUUGAAUUAAACUAAUCUAGAAAUGUAUCUUUAAAGGCUAUGUCCAAAUUCAGCUGAAUGGUACUUCAAUGGGCAGCUUCAUGGCUAAGGAAAUGAACUUGAAGGCUUGGUGAAUGUAUGGGAGAGCAAUGGACAUGUCUAGGUUCGGCCAAGGUGUGAAUGGACACUCCAAGAGAUGCCUUUUGGCCGAAUAGGUACUUAGGAGAUCAAUGGACAGCAACCGAUGCAUGUAAGUGAACAUUCAUGCAUUCUUCCAUUCAUUGUAUUAAAUCAUUCAUGCAUCAUCCUUACGUUCAUUGAACCAGCCCAUUCAUGAAUCAUCUUUAAUUGUGUUCCCACAUCAUGCAUUGUAAGUAGACGUUCAUGCACCUAGCUUGAAUGAAUCUCCACAUUCGGCUGUACCUAAAUGAAACAUGAACAAAUUAAUUAAAAUAGAUAUAUUAAUUAACACAUAAAUUUAAAAUAGACAAAAAUAAAGUCUUAAGCUAAACAUAUUAAAUUUGGCUAAGACAACUUUAAAAACAUGAAAUAAAUCAAAACAUAAUUAUGAGCUGUAAUAACUUAAACUAAGUUAAUAAAAUACUUUAAUUAUUCAACCAAUAAAAUAAAUGAGCUGAAUUGUAGCUAAAUUGAGCUCGAUUGAGCUGAAAUGAGCUCAAUUGAGCUGGUCGGAGUUGAAACGAGCUAGAAAAGCUAAAAUGGAGCUGAAAUUAGCUUGCACUAAGGUGCAUGGUUUCUUCAAGGAGUUGGAUCGAGCUUCCUCAUCUUCAACAAGCUGAUUCUCCUUCCAAAACUUGAACAACAAAGCUAAAACAACUUCAUGAAAUCGCUUGGACCUAGCUCGGGUCAUUGGUCCCUUUGGAAGCUCGAGGGAAUCAAGACGAGGACUUGAUGGGGCUUGGGGCGUGGUCACAUCAUUCCCCCUUCUUCAAAACGACUUGUCCUCAAGUCGAGCUGUUUAUUCUCUAGAAAAUAAUCCAUCUUUUGCAACUCUCCUUGAAUGAAUGGAACAAUUAGUCGUUCAUAAGCCUUUGCAAAAGAACUCACAAUAUUCGGCAUUAGAGAUGGCAAAUGAAUCAAUGAAAAUAGACAACCAUUAAUCAUCAAGAAAUGAUCAGAACAACUAUGUGGAUCAUGCAUGGUCAUAACAAGACAAGUAUGAGUUAUGUAAAAAGGCAAACUUAAAACAUCAUUCUUACAAUCAUAUGGACAAAACUCCUUCCAUAUCCAUAACUCAUCAAAUGGUCGAGACAAAGACAAAUAUGUUUUUAAGCAUUCAAACCUUUCAAUUUGCUUCCACAAGUCAUUGUUCAAGUAAAUGGAAUGCGAGUAAUGGAACAAGAAAUUUAAAUCUUCAUCACAAACACACAAAUGAAAAGUUUCAUAUGAUUCAUGAUUUCGCAUGUUUGGCACUCGCAAUUGUCGUUUGGUUAUGUUCUCAACAAUGAAUUCAUCACAUUUUCCAAAGAGAAAAAUCGUCUUAUCAUUACUCAAAAUGGAUUUAUCAUCAUCAAGCAAAAUCAAAUAAUUAACCACAACAGGAUUCAAACGAUUUUCAGCAAUCAAGGUGUCUUCAAAAAUUUUAGUUACAUUCGACUUAAGAGAAGAUGGUCGCAUAACAUCAGAAUUCAUACCUGAUUCACCUUUAGGAGUGGAAAAUUGAGAAUCAAUUUUACCUUUUUCAAUCAAAGUGAACCUUUUCUCCUUGAGAGGGUAUUGAAGUCGAAGCUCAUUACACAAUCCUUGAAAAACCUGAAACGAAGGGUAAACACAAAGGCAACUUGCACUUUUCGAAGUGUUGGGUUCAUAAUGCUGAAAGAGGGUAAUGUCUCCAUAGACGUUGAACUCAAAGGAACAGGCUAAAACACUAUUCACAUAUUGAACAUAUGUAACGAUACCAUGUUCAAAAACAUGAGUUGAUCUUACCUUUUCGAAAUGAAAAAUGAAUUUCAUGGACAGCCACAUAAAAUGAUCAAAGAACAAUUUUAAAUUAUAAACAGAGUCUUUAAAUUUCAGAGGCCAAACAUCAAACAGACAUAAAUUUGUCACAUAAAAUUUAGGAUGCUUGAGUUCCGCACAUAUCAACCUAAAAUAAUAAAUUCUAGGUUUGAACACACGAGUUUGAUUACUUACGCCAAAGUGUUUUAGUAAAUCAAACAUGUCAAACCAAAAGGGUUUUCGUGUCCAUAGAAACAAACAUUCAAAUCUCUUUAUAUUCAUCAAAUCAAACUUGCACAAAUUCAUGGAUUUGUCACAUGACAAUAAUGGAUGCACAAAAUUAUCAUAUUUGAAAAAUUGAAUCGCUUUUCGUGAAAACCCGACAUCAUGCAAAACCAAAUCUUUAGUUUGUCAUUCGUACCGAACAACAUCAACCACAUUCAAAGAAUAGAAAUUAAUCGAAUGAAAAUAAGAGAAUUUUUUUAAAACAAAGUCAUUUUCAACAACUUUCAAACUUGAUGGCCAUGACUCGGUGAUACGAGGUUGCGCGCGGACCAAGAUCGAGUUGCCAAGUCACGGGAAACUCCUACGAAAACCCUAAACAAUUAGAUCUGAAACGAAACAGAAAAUUAAAAGAUUAGAUUUUUGAAUUUUCAGAUCUGAAAUAAAAUCCCCAAAUCAGCAAAGAAUCAAAUUGAGAAUAGAAAUAAGUGUUAGGGUUCUUGAAACCCUCAAGGAGAUUGUGAUUCUGCCCAAUUGAACACCAAGAUAGUUUUCCCCAAAUUUCGACAAUCUAAUUUCACCCAAAAAGAGUAUGGAAAAACCCUAGAAAUUGGGGAUUUUUGGGCUGAUUCCUUAAGAUAGAAAAAGGCUGAAAACACAAUAAGAACAGAAAAUAGAUUAGAUAAUGAUUCAGCACAAGUAGAAAUAAAGAAAGAAUUGACAGUAAGAAAUUAAAAGAUAAGUCCUAAGAAGCCUUGAAAUCUCGAAAGAUCUCACAACUCCCUUCAAACGGCUCUAAUCUCCCCUCCAAAGAAUAUCAAUGGCAAGAAGAAGGUUGAAGAUGGCUCCCACAAUCAAAAAGAUUGUUAAAACAACUUCUAAAGAAAACUCAAGAGAAAAUCCUUGAAGAACUCAAAGAGAAUUUUCACUCAAAUCAAAUCUGAAAUUUUCAAUGUAAUUGUAAUGUAAUGUAGGGUGGCUGGCCAAGCCAUAUAAAUAGGCCUUUCAAAUGUUUUCCUAAUUUAAUUAGAACACUAAAACUAAAACUAAAAAAAAAAACUCCUAAUUAUUUUAAUAUGGAAAUUCGGCCAAGGGUCUUUUAUUUGGGACUCUUGGACUGAAUAUAAAAAUUUAAACUAAGUAAAAUAAAUAAAUAAAAAAAUAAAACUUUACAACUUGGGCCACUUUGACAAUUUGGCCUGAUUUUCAACUAAGUAUGGGUGGAUUUCUUGAUUGGGCUUGGAAGAAUUUGCUUAUUGAGCCUCGCCUUCAAGAAUUUGGGCUUUUGUGACUCGUAUCAUUCCCCCCUUCCUCAAAAAGAUUCGUCCUCGAAUCUGAAAAAUCAAAUGAACUCGACUUUCCUCUAUCGAACGGGACUAAUGGCAAUUGAGUCCACUGAGAAGAAUAGCCAUGAGAUAGUAAAUAGCAACGGAAAUAAGCUUGUAGUCCAAUCAUAAGCAUAAUAGAACAGGUAUAACGCAUGUGAAUGGACAGAUUCAGAUUACCAUGCAAACAAUCUAAUUUACUCACCACUGCCUCGUCAAAUAUUUGAAACAAAGAUGGACAUGUUUUAAGGCAUUCAGUGGUCUCACAUUGUUCCCACAAACCAUGAAUAAAUUGCGAGUAAUAAAUCAAAUGGUAAACAUAAUCGUCACAAGUAGGUAUUUGAAAAGAUUCACAUGGUUCACAGAGUUGCAUAAUCAUACCAUGCAUUAAUCGACGGUCUAUAGAUUCACUCACACAUGCAUUAUCAAAAACAAGAAUCUUUUUAUCAACCAUCAAAACAGAUAGAUCAUCAAUAAAUAAAAUAGGACAGUCAAGCACGUUUCGAUCUAAGUGUUCAUCAACACGAUCUUUAUCACUAUCCGAGGAGUACAAAAGUGUUUCAAAGGUUUCAAGCAUCUUACCUCGAUAAGCAGAAGAAUAAGGGUCGAUUUUACCUUUUUCAUUUAAAACAAACCUUCGCUCAUCGGGGGCAUAGUGUAGUCGAAUCUCCGUUGUUGAGUUAACCUUUGUCAAAUGGAACUCAAACUUCAUGUACAACCACAUAAACUGUUUAAGGCACGAAUAUAAAUUGAAAACAAAUUUGGAAAAUUUCGUUACUUUAUUCUCCAAAACAGAUUUGGACAAAUUCAAGGAUUUUACACAAGGUAAAUCAAGAGAAUAACAAAUCACGCUUCUUUUCGUAAUGACUUUAUCAACCACAAUCGAAGAGUAACAAUUAAUCGGAUCAAAAUGAGGGGAUCUUUUAAGAACUAAGUCACCAAAAGUUUUAUCAAUAAUUUUCAAAUCUGCACUGGACUCGGUUUCUAAAAUUUCCUUACCUCGCUUACCUUCGGGAUCAUGUAGUGUGAUUUCAUCUUUGCCUAAGUUGAUCGUAUGAAAGUGUCUUUCAUUUGAGAGGUAUUGAAGUUGAAAGUUAUCUUUCGAUCUUUCGGGAACCUGAAAAGUAGCAACACAAGAAAAAUUCAUAUCUUGGUUAGUGGAAACAUUCCUCACUACCCUUUCCACGUCUUUUUCUUUUGUUUCUUUUUCUAAUUCAUUUUCUCUUCUUUCUUCAAUUUCUUUUUCACUCUCAAUCUCUUUUUGCUCUUUUUCAUUCUCUUUUUCUUUUUCCUCACUUGUUUUAACAGAAUUUUUCAGUUUGAUUUGGUCCUCAUGGACUUGUUCCGAAGUGAGCGGCACUAAGGUGAGUUUCUUUCCUUGAUGCUUGAAAGAAUACCUAUUGGUACGACCAUCGUGAGUGACUUUUCGAUCCAGUUGCCAUGGUUCUCCUAGCAAUAAAUGGCAGGCUUGAAUAGGCAUUACGUCGCACACAACUUCGUCUUGAUACUUACCGAUAGAAAAGGCGAUGCGCACUUGUUGAGUGACCCUAAAUUGGCCUUCGUUGCUAAGCCCUUGUAGUUGAUAAGGUUGUGGAUGCUUGGUAGUGGUUAAGCAAAGCUUUUCCACCAUCGUCGUGCUGGCUAUGUUUGAGCAACUUUCACAAUCAAUAAUAACUCUACAAAGCUUACCUUGUACAUGGCAGCGAGUAUGAAAGAGAUGUUCUCGUUGCUGCUUGCUCUUUGGUUUUGCCAAAGAUGAUUGUCCACGAUCAUGAAAAUCAUCAUCCAUUCUAGGGACACGUUGAGGGCUGCACCUAUGGGGCUGGUUAUCCCUAUCUUCCUUAAUUGGAUCUCGAUAUUGAUGUUUUUGAUUCACUCGUACCUCAUUCAAAGUAGUAUUCAAUGCUUGAAGUGUAGCAUUUAUUUGUGUGAUUGCAGCAGUAUGUCCGUCUAACUGUUGUUGGACUUUCAUAAGUGCAUCAUUAUUAUCACCUUUAGACAUCUUCAAAACUGUAAAAAAUAAACACUCAACACUCAAAAAUAAAAGUUAGCAAACCUCACCAUUAAUCACUCAAAAAGAAAAAUCAAAUUCUCAAUGAGGUCGAAUUCAAUCUUGUGAGUUCUUUAUCAGAGUUUAUAUCAACCAAUUAGAGAGUGUGAACCAAACUACCAAAGAAUCCUAAUUUGCACUAGGAUGCCAAAAACUGACGAGACACCAAGUGAUUCGUGUUGCACCGAGGAAGGAUUGUGCACACGUUUAAAUCCUACUAACACAAGAAACAAGAAGGUGUUAGAUAUUGUAAAAGGAGAAUAAAAAGCAAACAAAUGAAAACCUACAGCUAAGAAUCAAUAAAAAUUGCUGAAAACAGAAAACCCGAAAAACUACGGAGUAACUUGACAACUUCGUUCGAGGUGUUCCCGAUCUCCAAAAAUCACGAAAUUAAAUCUGGAGUGUCCUUAUAUAUUGAAUUUUCGAUCUGGAAAUUUUGGGCACCAAAUUCAACCCGCUGAAUCUUUUUUUAAAUUUUUAUUGAAUUUCGUAUUUUUGAUUUUUUUAACUUUUUUGACUGAUUUUUUUGCGGGAAUAAUUUUUUUAUAUUCAAUCACAGUGCCAAAAACAUGUAUGUAAAAUUUCAGAUCAAUAGGACAACGUUUACCCACUCAAAUGAAUUUUUUUUUGAACAAUUUUUUCUGGGUAAAACUGCUGUUUAUGCUUUAAAAAAUAAAGAUCAGUUUAGAAAUCAACCAAGAACACUCAAAACGCCCAAAAUCUGAUACCAAAUGAUACGGGGUUGCGCGCGGACCAAGAUCGAGUUGCCAAGUCACGGGAAACUCCUACGAAAACCCUAAACAAUUAGAUCUGAAACGAAACAGAAAAUUAAAAGAUUAGAUUUUUGAAUUUUCAGAUCUGAAAUAAAAUCCCCAAAUCAGCAAAGAAUCAAAUUGAGAAUAGAAAUAAGUGUUAGGGUUCUUGAAACCCUCAAGGAGAUUGUGAUUCUGCCCAAUUGAACACCAAGAUAGUUUUCCCCAAAUUUCGACAAUCUAAUUUCACCCAAAAAGAGUAUGGAAAAACCCUAGAAAUUGGGGAUUUUUGGGCUGAUUCCUUAAGAUAGAAAAAGGCUGAAAACACAAUAAGAACAGAAAAUAGAUUAGAUAAUGAUUCAGCACAAGUAGAAAUAAAGAAAGAAUUGACAGUAAGAAAUUAAAAGAUAAGUCCUAAGAAGCCUUGAAAUCUCGAAAGAUCUCACAACUCCCUUCAAACAGCUCUAAUCUCCCCUCCAAAGAAUAUCAAUGGCAAGAAGAAGGUUGAAGAUGGCUCCCACAAUCAAAAAGAUUGUUAAAACAACUUCUAAAGAAAACUCAAGAGAAAAUCCUUGAAGAACUCAAAGAGAAUUUUCACUCAAAUCAAAUCUGAAAUUUUCAAUGUAAUUGUAAUGUAAUGUAGGGUGGCUGGCCAAGCCAUAUAAAUAGGCCUUUCAAAUGUUUUCCUAAUUUAAUUAGAACACUAAAACUAAAACUAAAAAAAAAAACUCCUAAUUAUUUUAAUAUGGAAAUUCGGCCAAGGGUCUUUUAUUUGGGACUCUUGGACUGAAUAUAAAAAUUUAAACUAAGUAAAAUAAAUAAAUAAAAAAAUAAAACUUUACAACUUGGGCCACUUUGACAAUUUGGCCUGAUUUUCAACUAAGUAUGGGUGGAUUUCUUGAUUGGGCUUGGAAGAAUUUGCUUAUUGAGCCUCGCCUUCAAGAAUUUGGGCUUUUGUGACUCGUAUCACUCGGUUUUUAAAACUUCCUUACCUCGCUUACCUUCAAGCUCGUGUGGUUUGAUUUCAACUUCAUCCUUACCUUUUUUGGUCAUGCAAAAACGUCGCUCGUUAGGAAGAUAUUGAAGUUGAUAUUCGUCACAGAGAUUUGUCGAAACCUGAAAAGAAGGAACAGAACAAAAACAAACAUCACGGGGGUUAGUUAAAAUUUCGUUCUCCUUUUCUUGUUCUCGCUCACUAUCUUCAUUUUCUCUCGUUUCUUCUUCAACAUCUUUUUCUUUUUUAAUUUUUUUCUCAAUCUCAAUUUCUUUUUCAAUUUUCUUUUCUUCAUUUUCUUUUUCACUCGCAAUUUUGAUUUCUUUUUCUUUUUCACUACAAUGUGCGGAUGACACGAAAGAAUCAAAGAGAUAAUCAUUUGGCUCAAAGAAAGAGAAAAUAUUUUCAUAAGCUUCUCGUCCAUUUCUUCGAGAACAAUCCUUUGGGAAGGACUUCUUUGAAGCAUACGAGGAAUAGCUCGUCCUUUCUCGCUCAUCUCGAGUGAUUUUUGACUCGAAGUUUUCUUCUCGCGGUCUCGAAAGCCUUGUUGAAUAGGAGUCUUGAUAUGUGUCUCUUCUCGAAUAAUGUCGUCGUGAUGAACUUAACUCUAUUUCUUGACUCGGUGGAGUUUGCUUCCGUCGGGCUUUUUCCUCCACUCGGUCCAAACGUCUUUUUAAUGGGCUUAGUUUUUCCUCCAAUAUUCGGCCCAUCUCGUUCACCAAGUAUUGAAAUUCAUCGGUAGAGAAUUCUUCUUGAGACAUGAUUCAAGAAAAUGUUUGAAAAUUGAAAGAUAGAAUAAAUAGUAAAUGAACCUCACCAAUUCAAAAUCCUCACCAAUCUCUCACAAAGAAAUAAUGAUUUUCACUCGCACUCGUGUUUACACUCUUCUAGGCUUUUUCUUUGAUGUAAAACACACGUGCCUUUUACCUCUUGACCUCGUCUCACAAUUUCGUAAUUCGUCUCGAUAGACUUAAUUUGCUGCUUGAGGGUCGGUUUCAAAAUAGGUUACAAAGGAAUGAUGUGGGUGUAGGGUAGGCUAAACAAAAUAAAAUCAAGGCUAAGUGUGGCGUUGGGAUGGGUAAAUAAUGGUAGGAAGGGAAACUUGAUGAUCGGAGCAAAUAAGAGAGAAAAAAAAAUAAAAUAAAAACUCGCAAAACUUUUCACUUUUUUUUAACUUGAUUUUUUUGCUCACCUUUUUUUUCUCGAUUUUUUUUUCAUUUUUUUUCAAUCAAUUUUUUUUCGAAUUUUUUUUGAUUUUUUUUGUUACUCCAAUACAAUAGUAAGCUAAAUACAAGGGAAAAAAAUUAAAUUACAACUCAAAUUUUUUUUUUGAUUUUUUUUCACGUUUCGAACUUACUUGCGGCUUUAUUACGAACGUCGGCGCUCCUCGUUUUAGUAGCUCUGAUACCAAAUGAUGUGAUCCGGCCCGAUUAAUUGAGUCGGGUUCACUUAAGAUGCCCGAUCGUCGAUGAGAAGCUCGUUCAAAUUUGUAGAUAGAUGGAGUUUGAAUGUUUUAUAAGCGGAAGGUAGGCAAAAUGGGUUCAAAGGAUGGGUUUUGGUUUGAUGAAAGAUAGGUUCGGUUUAGCAAAGAAUUAAUUUACAAAGAUGUUAAAUAAAUGGAAAUGGUUAAAGAACUCAAACUUUAAGAAUGAUUCAAUACUAAAAAGUAUUGCCCCGAGUCUUAUAUUGCUUAAGGUGAAUUUUGUUGAAGGAUAGAAGCGGACCUUGACCCGUUACCUAUAUGGAGGUAAGAACCAAAGGUAUAGGAAGAUGGUUGAACGCCACACCGAUUCGGUAAUAAGUUCAAUGGAGUUCGGAUUGACACCACUAGCAAGCUAGAUAAGUCGCUUCGAGACUCGAACGAAAGAAGAGAGGAGGUGAUACGAGUCACAAAAGCCCAAAUUCUUGAAGGCGAGGCCCAAUAAGCAAAUUCCCAGCCCAAUCAAGAAAUCCAUCCAUACUUAGUUGAAAAUCAGGCCAAAUUGUCAAAGUGGCCCAAGUUGUAAAGUUUUAUUUUUAUUUAUUUAUUUAUUUAUUUACUUAGUUUAAAUUUUUAUGUCAAUAUUCAGUCCAAUAGUCCCAGAUAAAAUGACCUUUGACCGAAUUUCCAUAUUAAAAUAAUUAGGAGUUUUUUUAUUUUAGUUUUCUAAUUAGAUUAGGACUAGUUAUAAUGCUUAUUUAAAGGCAUGGCUGUCCACCUUGUAAAACACUUAUCAUUAUUAUUAAAAUUUCAGAUUUGUUGAGAGCAGAAUUUUCUUUGAGUUUUCUCCAAGAUUUCUCUCUUGAGUUUUCUUUAGAAGUUGUUUUAACAAUCUUGUGAUUGUAGGAGCCAUCUUCAACCUUCUUCUUACCAUUGAUAUUCUUUGGAGGGGAGAUUAGAGCCGUUUGAAGGGAGUUGUGAGAUCUUUCGAGAUUUCAAGGCUUCUUAGGACUUAUCUUUUAAUUUCUUACUGUCAAUUCUUUUUUUAUUUCUACUUGUGCUGAAUCAUUAUCUAAUCUAUUUUCUGUUCUUAUUGUGUUUUCAGCCUUUUUCUAUCUUAAGGAAUCAGCCCAAAAAUCCCCAAUUUCUAGGGUUUUUCCAUACUCUUUUUGGGUGAAAUUAGAUUGUCGAAAUUUGGGGAAAACUAUCUUGGUGUUCAAUUGGGCAGAAUCACAAUCUCCUUGAGGGUUUCAAGAACCCUAACACUUAUUUCUAUUCUCAAUUUGAUUCUUUGCUGAUUUGGGGAUUUUAUUUCAGAUCUGAAAAUUCAAAAAUCUAAUCUUUUAAUUUUCUGUUUCGUUUCAGAUCUAAUUGUUUAGGGUUUUCGUAGGAGUUUCCCGUGACUUGGCAACUCGAUCUUGGUCCGCGCGCAAUCCUGUAUCAGGAGGUAACCUCACAAGAACAAAAGUUCUAUUAAGUUUAAUUGAUCAAAUUCUGUAACCUUUUUACAAAGAGAAAAGAACUAUUUAUAGAUUACAUUAGAUAGCCAAAUAGACUAAGUAAAUUCGGCUUUAAUUGAAUUAAACUAAUCUAGAAAUGUAUCUUUAAAGGCUAUGUCCAAAUUCAGCUGAAUGGUACUUCAAUGGGCAGCUUCAUGGCUAAGGAAAUGAACUUGAAGGCUUGGUGAAUGUAUGGGAGAGCAAUGGACAUGUCUAGGUUCGGCCAAGGUGUGAAUGGACACUCCAAGAGAUGCCUUUUGGCCGAAUAGGUACUUAGGAGAUCAAUGGACAGCAACCGAUGCAUGUAAGUGAACAUUCAUGCAUUCUUCCAUUCAUUGUAUUAAAUCAUUCAUGCAUCAUCCUUACGUUCAUUGAACCAGCCCAUUCAUGAAUCAUCUUUAAUUGUGUUCCCACAUCAUGCAUUGUAAGUAGAUGUUCAUGCACCUAGCUUGAAUGAAUCUCCACAUUCGGCUGUACCUACAUGAAACAUGAACAAAUUAAUUAAAAUAGAUUUAUUAAUUAACACAUAAAUUUAAAAUAGACAAAAAUAAAGUCUUAAGCUAAACAUAUUAAAUUCGGCUAAGACAACUUUAAAAACAUGAAAUAAAUCAAAACAUAAUUAUGAGCUGUAAUAACUUAAACUAAGUUAAUAAAAUACUUUAAUUAUUCAACCAAUAAAAUAAAUGAGCUGAAUUGUAGCUAAAUUGAGCUCGAUUGAGCUGAAAUGAGCUCAAUUGAGCUGGUCGGAGUUGAAACGAGCUAGAAAAGCUAAAAUGGAGCUGAAAUUAGCUUGCACUAAGGUGCAUGGUUUCUUCAAGGAGUUGGAUCGAGCUUCCUCAUCUUCAGCAAGCUGAUUCUCCUUCCAAAACUUGAACAACAAAGCUGAAACAACUUCAUGAAAUCGCUUGGACCUAGCUCGGGUCAUUGGUCCCUUUGGAAGCUCGAGGGAAUCAAGACGAGGACUUGAUGGGGCUUGGGGCGUGGUCACAUCACCAUCUAAGGGAACUUGAAAUGAAAUAGGAUAUGCUAUGUCUGGAGAUAUGAGAGUAGAACCACCUCUUAUAUAAGACACUGCUUUAAAAGGGAUCUAUCCCGAUUCUUGAACAAGAACCAUGACAUGAGAUCCUUCUUAUUAUAUGUAAAUUCCUUCUGUCUUGAGCCUUCCACCAGCUCUCUAAGAACCUCUUUAUUUGCCCAAUCCUUUUACUUAAUGUAAUGCCCUAUUCCUUUCGAGUUAGGAUCUCGAUUAGCCUCUUCUAUUUAAUAAAAUAAUAAAAGGCAAAUUGCCUUCAUUCCCCUUCUAUUCCCAAGAGCUGAUUCCAUAGGAGCGCAUUCUUCCUUUAUUGAUUCAAAAACCUUCUUGCUAACCGCCCUUAUCCCGCAAAGAGCUUAAGCUUAUUCUCUUCCUCGACGUGCCAAAGCCCCAUAUAAUGUAAAAUUGGAUGCUUCCUCUACUUCCCCUGCGACUCCUAUUGCUAUUACGACUCCUAUUAAUUUUCUUGAUUUGAGCCCAUCACCUUCUUGAGCUUAGGUUGGGCCUUUGUGACUCGUAUCAUUCCCCCCUUCCUCAAAAAGAUUCAUCCUCGAAUCUGAAAAAUCAAAUGAACUCGACUUUCCUCUAUCGAACGGGACUAAUGGCAAUUGAGUCCACUGAAAAGAAUAGCCAUGAGAUAGUAAAUAGCAAUGGAAACAAGCUUGUAGUCCAAUCAUAAGCAUAACAGAACAGGUAUAACGCAUGUGAAUGGAUAGAUUCAGAUUACCAUGCAAACAAUCUAAUUUACUCGCCACUGCCUCGUCAAAUAUUCGAAACAAAGAUGGACAUGUUUUUAGGCAUUCAGUCGUCUCAAAUUGUUCCCACAAACCAUGAAUAAAUUGCGAGUAAUAAAUCAAAUGGUAAACAUAAUUGUCACAAGUAGGUAUUUGAAAAGAUUCACAUGGUUCACAGAGUUGCAUAAUCAUACCAUGCAUUAAUCGACGGUCUAUAGAUUCAGUCACACAUGCAUUAUCAAAAACAAGAAUCUUUUUAUCAACCAUCAAAACAGAUAGAUCAUCAAUAAAUAAAAUAGGACAGUCAAGCACGUUUCGAUCUAAGUGUUCAUCAACACGAUCUUUAUCACUAUCCAAGGAGUACAAAAGUGUUUCAAAGGUUUCAAGCAUCUUACCUUGAUAAGCAGAAGAAUAAGGGUCGAUUUUACCUUUUUCAUUUAAAACAAAUCUUCGCUCAUCGGGGGCAUAGUGUAUUCGAAGCUCCGUUGUUGAGUUAACUUUUGUCAAAUGGAACUCAAACUUCAUGUACAACCUCAUAAACUGUUUAAGGCACGAAUAUAAAUUGAAAACAAACUUGGCAAAUUUCGUUACCUUAUUCACCACAACAGAUUUGCACAAAUUCGAGGAUUUUACAUAAGGCAAAUCAAGAGAAUAACAACUCACGCUUUCUUUCGUAAUGACUUUAUCAACCACAAUCGAAGAAUAACAAUUAAUCGGAUCAAAAUGAAGGGAUCUUUUAAGAACUAAGUCACCAAAUGUUUUAUCAAUAAUUUUCAAAUCUGCACGGGACUCAGUUGCUAAAAAUUCCUUACCUCGCUUACCUUCAGGCUCAUGUAGUGUGAUUUCAUCUUCAACCUUGCCUAUGUUGAUCGUAUGAAAGGUCUUUCAUCAGAAAGGUAUUGAAUUUGAAAGUUAUCUUUCGUAUGUGGCCAAUGGAAGUGUUCUAUCCCACGUAAAGGUGGUAAACCUUUAGGGGUCUUACUAAAAACAUCCUCAUAAUCCUGCAAAAAACAUUGAAACACACUAGGCAAAUUUUCGUUAAUGUUAGAUAAAGAUAAAUAGUUUUGCCUAAACCUCACAAGGAUAUAAGGUUGUUUAUUGAGUAGGGCUCUCCGCACAUCUUUUUUUGUUGCCAUCAAAUUUUUCACUCUCAUUUUACCACUUGCGGAUUCACACCCCUUUGGGCUAUUUAGAUUUUGACUUUUUUCACUACUAGCUUCUUUUCUCUCUGUCUUUUGUAUUUGUCCUUUCUCCCUUACCCCCUCACAAAAUUUCAUCAUUUUUAAUUGAUCCUUAUAUACAUCAUUGGGAUCUAAAGGAGCAAAACUGAAUUUUUGGCCUUUAAACACAAGAGAGUACCUAUUGAGCUUGCCUUGGUGUGUAGCAUCACGAUCAAACUGCCAAGGUCAUCCAAGGAGCAAGUGUGUCGCAUGCAUUGGGACCACAUCACACCAUGCAUUGAGCAAGUGUGUUCAAGAAGAUGAAAUCUGAUUAGUUACUUGUUAAUUUUAUUAGUUACUUGUUAGAUUAGGAUUACUUGAGGCCUAUUUAAAGAUUACUUUUUGCCGAAUCUUCCAAUUAAAAAUCUGAUUGUUUCAAUCUACUUACUGUUUUGGUGUUCUUGGCAGAUUCGGCUUGUGGGAUUUCACUAUUGGAGUUCGAUUUCAUCUUCUUGAACUCCGAAUACAUUUAUUCAUUCGUUCUUUGUUCCUUGCUGCUCAUUUAAUUGAAUUUGGGGAUUUAAUUUCAGAUCUGAUUAGUUUAAUCUUGUUCUUUGUUUUAAUUUUUAGAUCUGUUCGUUUAGAGCUUUCGUCGGAGUUUCCCGUGACUUGGCAACUCGAUCUUGGUCCGCGCACAACCCCGUAUCAUUUGGUAUCAGAUUUUAGGCGUUUUGGGUGUUCUUGGUUGAUUUCUAAACUGAUCUCUUUUUUUUAAUGCACAAACAACAGUUUUACCUAGAAAAAUUAUUCGAAAAAAAUUCAUUUUAUUGGGUAAACAUUGUCCGAUUGAUCUAAAAUUUUACAUACAUAUUUUUGGCACUGUGAUUGAAUAUAAAAAACUUAAUCCCCCAAAAAAAUCAGUCAAAAAAGUCAAAAAAAUCAAAAAAUACGAAAUUCAAUAGAAAUUUAAAAAAAGAGUCAGCAGGUUGAAUUUGGUGCCCAAACUUUGCAGAUCAAAAAUUAAAUAUAUAAGGAUAUUCCAGAUUUAAUUUCGUGAUUUUUAGAGAUCGGGAACACUUCGAACAAAGUUGUCAAGUUACUCCGCAGUUUUUUGGGUUUUCUAUUUUCAGCAAUUUUUAUUGUGAUAUGAACUCGUCUCGUGAUGUUUUAAGUCGUAUGUGUUGCCCAAUCAUGAAUUUGAGUAAGGCUAAGUUCGUUUCUACAAAAUAGAAGAAAGGCUACAAACAAUAGUUUAAAAGGGAAAUAGGUUUAACAACGAAUGGAAAUUUUGGCUAAAGGUAGAGAAUGAACCAACAAUAGAGAUUGUUGACCCGAGUCUCAAAGUAGCUCUUAGGUGAAUGGCGAUUUAGGUAAACAACAAAGAAAAGACCUCGACCCACUAUCAAGAAUGAUAGGAACCUUGGUAUAUGAUGAACCUCGACCCACUAUCAAUGAGGAUAAGAACCUUGGUAUAUGAUGAACGCCACACUAUGAAAGUGAUAAGUUCGAAAACAAGAAAUGGAUAGACGCCACAAGCUAUGCUUGAUAAGUCAAAUCAAUUCCGAAAGAACAAAGAGAAUUGGAUAGCUCACAAUUCAAAUAUUUCAUCUAUUUUCAGCAAAAAGUUCUUUUCUCUAUGGCUGAUUACAUCUAUUUAUAAUGCUAGAACAAGGUAACCGAAUGGUCAAAAACAUCCACUUAAUGUGCCAUAAAAAACUGAUGUCUUUUCUUAUUCUUUGAACCAAAUAACUCCUUCCAUAAAAUCACUUUAAUUCAGCUGAUUUUAAUGUCUUUAAUGGCUUAGAAAAUGACUCUUGAGUUGUCCUUGGCUAGUUGAAUAGACACCAUCUCUUACCAGCUCCUUAAUGACAUUCAAAGGCUUGAUUAAUUUCUCUUAAAAGCUCCAAAAACGGCUGGAAGUGGAAGAGUUGCUGCUGAAUUUUAAAGGGCAUAAAAUGCUCUUUAAAAACUCCUUUUAAUGAUCUUUAAGCUCAUUUUUUUAACAGCCCCUUUAAUUGUAACUCAAAAGAACUUGAACAGCCACUUAUUAAAUGUGUAACAGCCUUGAAUUGUAACCACUAUAAGCUAAAAAGUCACCUGUAAUAAACACAUUAAAAUGAGUUUAUUAAACACAUUAAACACUUAUUAAUCAUAACACAUAUUAAACUUACUUAAAUAAAUGAACUAAAACAUAUAUGCAAUAAUUAUUCCAGCAACUAGUUUAAUUAAAGAAGCAUAAUUUAAAGAACUUAAUUUAUGCAUCAAUAAAUAAUCCUAGGAACUAGAUCAAUUAAGAAGCAUCUUAUUUAAUAAAGUUCAAUAACUAACUCAUGUAUUAAAACUUUAAGAUAAGUUAAAUUAAUUGAUCAGCAACUUAUUUAUUAAACUAAAACAAGUUAAUUAAAAGAAACAAAUUCAGCUUGCAAUAAAUUGCAAGUAACGCCUUUUGAACGGUUUGAAGCACGACUAUCAAAUCCGGCCACUCCUUCUUCCCAAGCUCGUUCCACAUAGCUUGCUAUUGCAUUUCAAAAUCUCUUAGCUCGUGAUCGAGUUAUUGGUCCUCGUGGCAGCUCAAUGGAUUCGGUAGUAAUUUCCCGGGCUAAGGUUGCAUCAUUCCCCCCUUUUCGAGGCGAUUUGCUCCCAAAUCAUCACCUACAUCGAAAAGAGAUAAAUCAGCAACAUUAAAAGUAGCACUAACCCCAUACUCACCAGGUAAAUCUAACUUAUAAGCGUUAUCAUUAAUUCUCUCCAAGACUUGAAAAGGUCCAUCUCCUCGUGGUAAUAGUUUGGAUCGUCUUUGAACGGGAAAUCUCUCCUUGCGCAUGUGAAUCCAAACCCAAUCACCAGGUUCAAAUAUUACUCGUUUACGGCCCUUGUUAACUUGAUGUGCAUAUUGCUCCGUUCUUCGUUCAAUAUUAUCCCUAACUCGCUGAUGUAAUUGUUUCACAAAAUCUGCCUUUUUCUUUCCAUCUACAUGCACCAAUUUAUCAAAAGGUAAAGGCAAUAAAUCUAAUGGAGUUAAGGGAUUAAAUCCAUACACUACCUCAAAUGGUGAAAACUUGGUAGUUGAAUGUACCGAUCGAUUGUAUGCAAAUUCAAUGUGAGGUAGACACUCCUCCCAAGUUUUUAAAUUCUUACGUAUAAUGGCCCGCAGUAGUGUUGACAGAACUCUAUUAACAACCACUGUUUGGCCAUCAGUUUGGGGAUGACUUGUUGUGGAAAAUAAUAGCUUAGUUCCAAUCUUUCCCCAUAAAGUCCUCCAAAAGUGGCUGAGAAAUUUAGUGUCUCGAUCCGAAACAAUAGUUCUUGGAAUUCUAUGCAAUCGUACAAUCUCCCUAAAAAAUAGAUUGGCAACAUUUAAAGCAUCGUCAGUUUUGUUACAUGCAAUGAAAUGAGCCAUUUUUGAAAACCGAUCAACUACAACAAACACAGAAUCUUUGCCAUUCUUUGUUCUAGGAAGACCCAAAACAAAGUCCAUAGAAAUAUCCGUCCAUGGCAUUUCUGGAAUUGGUAAUGGAGUAUAGAGUCCAUGAGGCUGGACCCUUGAUUUCGCCUUCUUGCAAACAAUACAGCGAUUGCACACUUUAGCCACAUCACGUUUCAUCUUUGGCCAAUAAAAGUGUUCUUGAAGAACAGCCAAAGUUUUGGCAAUACCAAAAUGAUAAAGGGUUGCGCGCGGACCAAGAUCGAGUUGCCAAGUCACGGGAUACUCCUACGAAAGAUCCUNNNNNNNNNNNNNNNNNNNNNNNNNNNNNNNNNNNNNNNNNNNNNNNNNNNNNNNNNNNNNNNNNNNNNNNNNNNNNNNNNNNNNNNNNNNNNNNNNNNNNNNNNNNNNNNNNNNNNNNNNNNNNNNNNNNNNNNNNNNNNNNNNNNNNNNNNNNNNNNNNNNNNNNNNNNNNNNNNNNNNNNNNNNNNNNNNNNNNNNNNNNNNNNNNNNNNNNNNNNNNNNNNNNNNNNNNNNNNNNNNNNNNNNNNNNNNNNNNNNNNNNNNNNNNNNNNNNNNNNNNNNNNNNNNNNNNNNNNNNNNNNNNNNNNNNNNNNNNNNNNNNNNNNNNNNNNNNNNNNNNNNNNNNNNNNNNNNNNNNNNNNNNNNNNNNNNNNNNNNNNNNNNNNNNNNNNNNNNNNNNNNNNNNNNNNNNNNNNNNNNNNNNNNNNNNNNNNNNNNNNNNNNNNNNNNNNNNNNNNNNNNNNNNNNNNNNNNNNNNNNNNNNNNNNNNNNNNNNNNNACGCCAAACGGUAUUGAUUCGUCGAUUUAGUUUGCGAAGAACUUUGAGAGGCAAAAAUCGAGUGGACAAAAAGGCAAGAGUGAUUGGUGAGACCAUUCGAGAGAAGUAAAAACCAUAUUGUGUGAAUUUUAUUUGUGAGAGAAGUGUGAGUUUUGUUGUGUGAUUAAAAAAAAUGUCUCAAGAAGAAUUUUUCGAAUCAGAAUUCCAAUAUUUGAUGCAAGAAAUGCGUAGAAUGGUGAAAUCAAACUUUGAUAAAUUGCAUGAUAGAUUGGAUCGAAUAGAGACAAGAGCCCAACAAAAGCAAAUUUCAUUGAGUCAAGAGACGGAGUUAAGAUCAUCCCGACGAUACUACUCGACAAGGGGCUCUUAUCAAGACGUCUAUUCAACAAGGCAUUCGAGACCAAGAGAAGCAAACUCCGAGUUUGAGUCCUUCUGAGAUGAUAUACGAAAAGGUAAUCAUGUCUCUACAAGUGCCUCAAUUUAUUCAUCUACGAAUGAUUAUUUACGAAGAGGCGAACGUGUUUCAAGAGUGUCAAAGUACUCGAAUACGGAGGGUUAUUCACAAAGAGAUGAUCGUGACUUGCAUGAUGAAUCUGCCAUUUCUUUCGAACGAGAAGCUUGUCGUUAUGGUUCUUAUAAGUUAUCAUCUUCUUGUAAUGAAAGAACAAGACAAAAAGAAAAUAGAAGAAAAGAAAAACAAGAGAUGUUGAUGCAAGAAAAUGAACGAAUCUUGAAUGAAAUUGAGAGAAGAAAAAAAGAAAUGAGAGGAAAAGAAAAAGAAUAAAAGAAAAAGAUGAAAAUGAGAUUCCAAAAACAAAAGAGAGUGAAAAGCAAAAAGAGAUUGAAAAAGAAAUUGAAAAAGAAGAAAAAGAAAGAGUGGAAAAAGAAAUUGAAAGAGAGCUUGAACAGAAAUUGAGUGGAAAAGAAAAAGAGUUUGCAAAAGAAAAUAGUGAAAGAGAUGAGAGAGAACAAGAAAAAGUGAGCGUUGUUUUUACUAACCCACAUGUGAGUUGUUCUUGUUCUAUUUCUUCUUUUCAGAUUUCUAAAGAUUCGUGUGACGAUUUUCAAUUACAAUACUUCCCUGAUGAGAGGCGAUUCAAGUUGAUUCAGAAAGGUAAGAACAUAGAAGACCCUUGUCCACCGGCACAUAAAGGUAAGAAAGGUGAGGGAUCUAUGCCGUGUGAGUCUCCAUUUUUCCACUUGAACGUUUGUGAUAAUAUUGAUGAUGAUUUAGUCUUUGAAAAGGUUUCAUGUCUUGACAUGGCUAAUUGUCAUUCUUUGUUUGAUGAUAAUUUUAUUUUAAAUGGAGGCAUGAAGAGUUGUGUAUUUGACGUGUUUCGUGUUGAAAAUUUUGUUGAUGAUAUUGGAUUAUUUCAGCUUGUGCAAACUUUGGACGUGCGAGAUUGGAGGUAUCCACAUAAAAGGUUUGAUUUAGUCAAUUGUCAUGGUUAUGUGAAUCAUUUAUAUUCUUAUACGAAAUCCUUUUGUAUAAGCAUGCCUGUGAGAAUGAAAUUUUUACUGCACUAUGGAAUAAGUGAUCAAAAUUGUGAGUUCAAACCUGGAAUUUGCUAUGUUGACUCGUUUUAUGGGAAACUUGGGCAUUCCAAACUUAGUGCAAAUAAUUUGAUUGAUGCUGUGGAUUUUGAAAAAUAUUUGUAUCCUGACGCAAAUGAUUGUUUUCCUUUGGUUAGCCUUGAAGUAUAUGUUUUGAACGAUGAAUGCAAGAAUAAAGUUAGUACAAAUUGCGAUGCUGAUCUGCAAACAAAUGAAAUUUUGUCCCAAUUCCAAUUCGUCCCGUUCGACCGAGGAAAGCUAAGUAAAAGUUGCUGCGAUCGAGUGAACCAAUGGCUCGACUUGAGAACAAGUCGUUCUAAAGAAGGGGGUGAUACGACCCUGCCUCGAAAACAUCCUUGGUUCAGUUCAUCAGGCGACAAUCGCAAAUUCUUGCAAGUUGAUCGAGAUUGUUUCAGUUCAAUGGAGCUCAAAUUUGAUCUAAUUUCAGCUCAUUAAAUUUGAACUUCAAUUUAUUUUAACUUAUGCUUUUAAAUAGUUGCUGGAAUAAAUUAAGUUCAUUAGUUAGUUUAUUAAUUUCAGCAUGCACAUGAUUUAAUUUGGGUCUAAUAAUUUUUAUAUUAAAUUUGCUUUAUUUAGUAUAUGAUUUAAUUAUGUUUUCAAUUAGUACACAUUAAUUUGUCAUAGGUUAAGGCAUGCAUUUAAUUUGUCUAUGUUUCAGCCGAAUUUAUUAUGUCUUAUUGAUGACUUAAUGUGCUUGAAGUCCAGCCGAAAUUAAUAUAUUAAUUAACUUCAUGCAUGAGUUAAUUAUGUAUUAAAGAAGGCUGCCGAAUUUAAUGAGGGGUUAAUUUAAGUCCAGCCGAAUUUUAUUGUCUUUAGAUGCAUUAUUUGACCGAAUUUAUUUUGUGUCUGCAGGUCAUUGAAUUCGGCUACUUAAUGGCUAAGGAGACAUGCAUUUAAGGUGCUGUUAACAUGCAAGGAACGGCAUUUAAAGAAGGUCAUUGAAAUUCGGCUAUUUAAUGGCAAAGGAAACAUGCAUUAAGGAGAUGUUCCCAUGCAUGGAACGGUAUUUAAAGGGAAGUAAAAACAUGAAUUAAAUGAGGUGUUCCCAUGAAUUGACGGCAUUAAUUAGUUGCUGGAGCUUGCAUGCAUGGCAUUAAUUAGUUAAUUUUUCGUGUUCAACAGCAGCAAUAAAGGAGUUGCUGGUGCUUUUUCAUAUGGCCAUUUAAUGGACGAAAUUAAUUGUAUUGUGCAGCAAAGGAGCUGUCCAGCAUGCGUGGGAUGGUCAUAAAGGAGAUGCUGAAUUUCUCCUCCAUGCAUGGACAUCAUUUAAAGAAGAGUUGUUGUUUUCUAUUUCCCAUGAGCCAUUUUCGUGUUCCUCAAAUGCCAUAAAGGUGCCGCCCAAUUGAGAGAAUGAAUGAGCAGUAUUUAAAAGGGGAGUUGCUGAUGCGAUCCCGGUCGCAUCAUGUUACGACACAACUCGAUGCUACCGAGAUUGGCCCAAACUCGAGGGGCCCAAUUGCAAAAUGAAGUUUUUAAUUUCAGUUUGUCAAUUUGGCAGUUGGAAAAUAAGGACUUUGAUUCAUUAAUUUUUAGUUAUUUUAGUUUGUGUUUUUAAUUAUGUCAUAGUUUGCACAUCAUUAAUAUGUGUUCUGCAUUUAAUAAAGUCAUGCAUUAUGUAACUUUCAUGUUAGUUAAGUUUGCAUCAUUAAAUUAAGUCAAGUUAGAUUAAUUAUGUAACUUUCAUGUUAGUUAAAUUUGCAUUUCAAAACCAUGCAUUUAAGCAUCUUAGUUUAAUAAAUGAGUUGCUGGACAUUUAUUCAACUCAUCUUAGUUUUAAUUAAUAAGUGUUUUUGUUGAACCUUAUUUAAUAAGUGUUGUUCUUAAUUAAUCUAGUUCCUAGGAUUAUUUAUUGAUGCAUGAGUUAAGUUCAUUUAAUUAUGCUUCUUUAAUUAAACUAGUUGCUGGAAUAAUUAUUGCAUAUAUGUUUUAGUUCAUUUAUUUAAGUAAGUUUAAUGUUUGUUAUGAUUAAUAAGUGUUUUCAUUUGUUUAAUAAACUCAUUUUAAUGUGUUUAUUGCAGGUGACUUUUUAGCUUAUAGUGGUUACAAUUCAAGGCUGUUACACAUUUAAUUAAGUGGUUGUUCAAGUUCUUUUGAGUUACAAUUAAAGGGGCUAUUAUAAAGGGAGCUUAAAAUCAUUAAAGGAGUUUUUAAAGAGCAUUUUAUGCCCUUUAAAAUUUAGCAGCAACUCUUCCACUUCCAGCCGUUUUUGGAGCUUUCAAGAGAAAUUAAUCAAGCCUUUGAAUGUCAUUAAGGAGCUGGUUAAGAGAUGGUGUCUAUUCAACUAGCCAAGAACAACUCAAGAGUCAUUUUCUAAGCCAUUAAAGACAUUCAAAUCAGCUGAAUUAAAGUGAUUUUAUGGAAGGAGUUAUUUGGUUCAAAGAAUAAGAAAAGACAUCAGUUUUUAUGGCACAUUAAGUGGAUGUUUUUGACCAUUCGGUUACCUUGUUUUAGCAUUAUAAAUAGAUGUAAUCAGCCAUAGAUGAAAUAUUUGAAUUGUGAGCUAUCUAAUUCUCUUUGUUCUUACGGAAUUGAUUUGACUUAUCAAGCUUAGCUUGUGGCGUCUAUCCAUUUCUUGUUUUUGAACUUAUCACUUUCAUAGUGUGGCGUUCAUCAUAUACCAAGGUUCCUAUCAUUCUUGAUAGUGGGUCGAGGUCUUUUCUUUGUUGUUUUCCUAUACUGUAUUUCACCUAAGAGCUACUUUGAGUCUCGGGUCAACAACCUCUAUUGUUGGUUCAUUCUCUGCCCUUAGCCAAAUUUUUCCAUUCGUUGAUAAACCCAUUUCCCUUUUAAACGUUUGUUUGUAGCCUUUCUUCUAUUUUGAAACAAACUUAGCCUUACUCAAAUUCACGAUCGAGCAAACACUAACGACUCGAAUCAAUCACAAAAUGAGUUCGUAUCAGUUGCAAUUAAAGAAAGUGGGCUGCUGGUUUCAAGCUUCCCUUCGAGUAUUGCAACAGUGAAUCAUAAAUUCACAUUGCAUGGCCGAUGGAGUCUCCAAAGCUGCUCAUUAAUGCUUCCAAUAAUUUUUCAGCUAAGCAAAGUAAAUUUUAAAUAGCUCAUCAAAUUGUUGGCCGAACUUAGCUUGUCCCUUUCAGUUCCCAACGUAGAUCAUUUCUCUUCCCCAAGUUGGCCUUUGAGCUCCCCAAGAAACCAUAAGAGCUUUCACACAAGUUGGACGAAUUAGGCCAAUCUAAACAAUUCUAUUUAGCCAUUUCAGCUCAACCAUCACCUCAUUAAUUCAAGGCUAUUAGAAGACAUCAAAAGGCUGUCCAUUGACGUCUCCAAAGCUAGGAAUCUUCAAGGAAGCUUCAAGGGACGUUCUAGGAAGCUACAUGAAAUUUUCAAUUCAUUUGUUUUGAAAAUAAGCUGACUUUUUAGCUGCUCAAAUGUCCAUUCGGCUAGCCUAGGAAUUUGACUAUAAAUAGCUUGUUUUGUAUUCGUUUUAGGGUUAGACAAUAUAUUUUUAAAACUUAUAUGAAAUUUGUUUACUUUGUGAGUUUGUGUUCAACUCUCAUUGCUCUCCAAGGACUGGUUAGACUUAUCAAGUAACCCUUGUGGCGUCAACCCAUUUUUCAUUUCGAACUUAUCACUUUGCACCUAAAGUGUGGCAUUCAAGUUAUACCGAGGUUCCUAUCAAUAUUGAUUGACAUAGGGAUUGCGCGCGGACCAAGAUCAAGUUGCCAAGUCACGAGAAACUCCUACAAAAGAUCCUAGACGAACAGAUCUGAAAUCAAAAACAAAGAUUAAGAUUAAACCGAAUCAGAUUUGAAUUUAAAUCCCCAAAUUCAAUUAAAGGAGCAGCAAGAAAUAAAGAAAUAGAAUAGAUGAAUCAAACGAAAUUAGAAGUAUAGAAAGAUUGCGAAUCGGUCAACAAAUUGAUUCGGCCAAGAAUGCCCAAUUUCCAGCAAUCAAUUGAUUCCCAAAUUGAAAGAAAUCCAAUCGGCCAAACCCUAGGAAUUGGGGAUUUUUGGGUUCAAAUGGGUGCUGCCAAUAGGAGAACAACUUAAACGAUGAGAUCUUGAGUUUAAUCAAUGCUGGAAAACAAACAAGAACAGCAAAAUAUUAGAUGAGAAAUCGGCACAAGUAUAAGCAAAGAAAAGUAAAGAAAGAAAUCGAAAACAGCAAGAAUUAAAGGAUAAGUCCUAAAGAUCCUUGAAAUCCCGAAAGAUUUCACAAAUCUCUUCAAACGGCUCUAAUCUCCCCUCCAAAGAAUAUCGAUGGCAAGAAGAAGGUUGAAGAUGGCUCCCACAAUUAAAAGAUUGUUAAAACAACUUCUAAAGAAAACUCAAGAGAGAAUUCUUGGAGAAAACCCCAAAGAAAAUUCUGCACUCAACAAAUCUGAAAUUUGAUAGAAAAAAUAAUAAUAAGAUGUUUACAAAGGGUGGCUGGCCAAUGCUUAUAUAGGCCUCCAACAAAUCCUAAUCUAAUUAGAAAACUUAAAAAAUUUAAACUUAAUUAAAAAAACAAAGGAAAAUUCGGCCUUGCAUCCUAUUGGGCUGUUUUGGGCCGAUUUAACAUGUGAUAUUCCUAAAACUUAAAAAUUAACUUAAACAACUAAAAUGUUUACAAAUUGGGCCCUUUGACAUUUUGGCCUGAUUUUCAACUAAAUAUGUAUGGAUUUCUUAAUUGGGCUGGGAAUUUGCUUAUUGGGCCUCGCCUUUAAGAAUUUGGGCUUGUGAUCCAUCUCCUACCGAAAUUGGGUCGUUGACGCUCGUAACGGAGAUCCAACGCGCUUUGGCUGCAAGAUUCGAUUUCUUGGACCAAUAUUUCCAAGAUUUGAAAUCUUGAUUUUCUUGAUUCUUGAAAUCGCUCCAAACAGCAAAAUUGGGCCAAGAUUUGAUUUCUUGAUUUUCUUGAAAACAAGAAAGUGAAUCUUGAUUUUCUUGAUUUGAGCCCAUCACCUUCUUAAGCUUGGGUUGGGCCUUUGUGACUCGUAUCAUUGAUAGUGGGUCGAGGUUGCGUUUCUAUUACCUACCUUCCUAACCGUUACCAUCUCAACCUAAGCAUUCGUAUAAGUCUCGGGGAUAACACACUUAUAAUGUGUUAGAUCAACUUGAAUACUUGGUUUUAUGUUCACCUAACAAUUUCCAUUCAUUCUAUAACCUCUUUGAACCAAAUUGAGCCUUUAUCUCUUCUUUCUUAACCUAUUUUCGACAAACCUUAAUAUUACUCCAAUUCACGAUCGGGCACAACAAUGACUCAGAUUCAUCAACGAGGCCGGGGUCGCAUCAGAAAGGUUCCCGGCCCAACGAAGAUCUAAACUAUUGCCAAGGGGUGAUGGUCCUUUUCAAGUUUUGGAAAGGAUCAAUGACAACUCUUAUAAACUCGACCUUCCCGGUGAGUAUAGUGUGAGUGCUAGCUUUAAUGUUUCUGACCUAUCUCCUUACGAUGUAGGUGACUGAUACGAUCUCGGUUUAGUAGUUAAGUCCAAGUCGUUUGGUUCCCGAUUGUAAACGAAGAAGUAGAUUAGAUGAGAAGGAGUUAGAAUAUAUUUGUGUACAAAGAAGUAAGAUAAGUUCGUGCAAAGUUGGAUGUGGAUUUGGUUUAAGUCGAAAUGGUAUGAAUAGAAUGGAAGAGUUCGGUUUAGGAUAAUUAAGAAAUGGUAUUAGGUUUUGGUACGUUUUGGUAUUUGGGAAUUGGUACGAAAUGGUAUGGAAUUGGUAUGAAAUGGUAUGGUAUUUGGUACGAAUUGGUAAUGGUUCAAAGAGGUCAAGAAUGAACCAACACUAAAGAAAAGUGUCGACCCGAAACUUAUAGGACCUAAAUGAAUUGGAAAUGGUUGAAAAGGACCUUGACCCGAUACUUAGGAAAGUAUGAACCAAAGGUAUCAAAGGUGAACGCCACACUCGGGUUUAAGGAGUGAUAAGUUCAGGAAAAGACUCGAAAAGACGCCACUAAAAGCUUAGAUAAGUCUUACGAGUCUCGAACAAAGUUUGAGGGAAAAUGCCUCACAAAUUAGGCAGUAAUUCGCUAAUUAAAAUGUCAAAAGUCCCUUACAAAGUGAAAAAUCAGCUAUUUAUAAUAAUCCACUAGACUAGCCGAAUGGUCACUUAAAUUCCUUAAAAAUUAAGCAAAUGAAUUACUUAAAUGGGCUAGCUAGAUUUGGCUGAACUUGGAGCUCCAAUGGUCACCUUCUAGAUAGACAAUUGAACUUGGAGCUUGAGGGAGUAAAUGGCAGCAGCUACAUUCGGUUGAUGUGCUUAAAGAAGCUCAUUUAAUUGGCAACUAUUGCUGAAAAAUUACCAGCAAUUAAGAAGAUGUUGAGUAGUCACUUUGAGUGUGAAAACCAAGUUUUGAAGAGUCUUUGAAUGUGAACACCUUGAUUCGAACAGCCAUGAUGUAUUCAACAGUGUGUAAGCAAUAAAUUCGGCUGAAUGGUCACUUAGGAGACUUCAAACAGCAGCCAACUUCAUUCUCCCAUUCAUGCAUGUGCCGUCCCCUUCAUGUACCCUCUUUUAAUACCUUUCAUGCUCCAAAAACGUUCACGGAUGAUGUACCUGCAGCAACAUUCAUCAAAUAAUUCAAAUUCAUGUUUAGACACAUUAAAUUAACACUAAAAUGCUGCACAUUAAAUUCAGCAGCCUUAGGACAUAAUUAAAACAAGUAAUAAAGUUAACAUAUUAAAAACAAGCUUAAAAACAUAUUUAUAAGCUGUAUAAAUUAAGACAAAAUUAAUAACAUGUCAUAAUAACUAAAAUAUCAUGCAUAAUUAAGUUUGACCAGAUUUAAGACCAAUUUAAUAACGAAAAUUAAUUAAGCUUGUAAAUAACUAAUUUAACUAACUCAAUUAAUUAUUUCAGCUACUAUAUUAUUGACUAAGUUAUUUUGAGCUAAUUUUGAGCUGGUUCAAAUUUAAUGAGCUGAAGUGGAGCUUAAUUCAGCUCGUAACAAAGUACAAGGAAGGCUCAUCGAGUUUGUCCAAGCUUCAUCAAUGCGUCCAACCAAAGUCUCGCCCCAAACUUGAUCUACUAAGGCCGAAACAGCCUCCUUGAAUUGUUUAGCUCGUGAUCAGGUGAUUGGACCUUGAGGCAGCUCCAAAGGCUCCUUGCUCGAGCUAGGUUGGACUUGAGGCGUGGCUGUAUCAUGCUCCUCCUCUUCAAAGCGAUUUGCCCUCAAAUUGGAAUCUGCAUCAAAAGGGGAUAAGUCAGAGGCAUUAAAACUUGCACUUAUGUUAUACUCACCUGGUAGAUCAAGUCGAUAAGAAUUCUCAUUGAUUCGUUCCAAGACUUGAAAAGGGCCAUCACCACGCGGUAGUAGCUUUGACCUUCGUUGGGCGGGAAAACAUUCCUUUCUCAUGUGAACCCAAACCCAAUCACCAGGUUCGAAGAUAAUUCUUUUACGACCCUUGUUCGCUUUCCUAGCAUAGCUUUCGGUUCUUGCUUCAAUGUUGGCUCGAACUUUCCGAUGUAACUCCUUUACAUACUCGGCCUUCUUUUUAGCAUCUGCAUGAAUAAGUUAAUCGUUAGGUAAAGAUACUAAAUCUAAAGGAGUUAACGGAUUAAAUCCAUAAACAAUUUCAAAAGGAGAGUGUUUGGUUGCCGAGUUAACGGAUCGAUUAUACGCAAAUUCUAUAUGCAGCAAACACUCCUCCCACGACUUAAGAUUUUUUCGUAUGAUGGCUCGUAACAAAGUUGAUAGCACUCGGUUGACCACUUCUGAUACGGGGUUGCCGCGGACCAAGAUCAAGUUGCCAAGUCACGAGAAACUCCUACGAAAGAUCCUAGAUGAACAGAUCUGAAAUCAAAAACAAAGAUUAAGAUUAAACCGAAUCAGAUUUGAAUUUAAAUCCCCAAAUUCAAUUAAAGGAGCAGCAAGAAACAAGGAAAUAGAAUAGAUGAAUCAAACGAAAUUGGAAGUAUAGAAAGAUUGUGAAUCGGUCAACAAAUUGAUUCGGCCAAGAAUGCCCAAUUUCCAGCAAUCAAUUGAUUCCCAAAUUGAAAGAUAUCCAAUCGGCCAAACCCUAGGAAUUGAGGAUUUUUGGGUUCGAAUGGGUGCUGCCAAUAGGAGAACAACUUAAACGAUGAAAUCUUGAGUUUAAUCAAUGCUGGAAAACAAACAAGAAUAGCAAAAUAUUAGAUGAGAAAUUGACACAAGUAUAAGCAAAGAAAAGUAAAGAAAGAAAUCGAAAACAGCAAGAAUUAAAGGAUAAGUCCUAAAGAUCCUUGAAAUCCCGAAAGAUUUCACAAAUCUCUUCAAACGGCUCUAAUCUCCCCUCCAAAGAAUAUCGAUGGCAAGAAGAAGGUUGAAGAUGGCUCCCACAAUCAAAAGAUUGUUAAAACAACUUCUAAAGAAAACUCAAGAGAGAAUUCUUGGAGAAAACCCUAAAGAAAAUUCUGCACUCAACAAAUCUAAAAUUUGAUAGAAAAAAUAAUAAUAAGAUGUUUACAAAGGGUGGCUGGCCAAUGCUUAUAUAGGCCUCCAACAAAUCCUAAUCUAAUUAGAAAACUUAAAAAAUUUAAACUUAAUUAAAAAAACAAAGGAAAAUUCGGCCAUGCAUCCUAUUGGGCUGUUUUGGGCCGAAUUUAACAUGUGAUAUUCUAAAACUUAAAAAUUAACUUAAACAACUAAAAUGUUUACAAAUUGGGCCCUUUGACAUUUUGGCCUGAUUUUCAACUAAAUAUGUAUGGAUUUCUUGAUUGGGCUGGGAAUUUUCUUAUUAGGCCUCGCCUUUAAGAAUUUGGGCUUGUUAUCCAUCUCCUACCGAAAUUGGGUCGUUGACGCUCUAAUGGAGAUCCAACGCGCUUUGGCUGCAACAUUCGGUUUCUUGGACCAAGAUUUCCAAGAUUUGAAAUCUUGAUUUUCUUGAUUCUUGAAAUCGCUCCGAACAGCAAAAUUGGGCCAAGAUUCGAUUUCUUGAUUUUCUUGAAAACAAGAAAGUGAAUCUUGAUUUUCUUGAUUUGAGCCCAUCACCUUCUUAAGCUUGGGUUGGGCCUUUGUGACUCGUAUCAACUUCCGUUUGUCCAUCUGUUUGGGGGUGGCAAGUGGUUGAAAACAACAACUUAGUUCCAAGCUUUCCCCAAAGCGAUCUCCAAAAAUGGCUCAAAAACUUCGCAUCUCGAUCAGAAACAAUCGUCCUCGGGAUGCCAUGCAAACGAACAAUUUCCUUAAAGAAAAGAUUAGCAAUGUGAAUGGCAUCAUCAGUUUUUGAACAAGAAAUAAAAUGAGACAUUUUGGAAAAGCGAUCAACAACAACAAAAAUAGAGUCCUUCCCCGUUUUAGUCCUAGGCAAUCCAAGGAAAAAAUCCAUGGAAAUGUCCUCCCAAGGUGCGUCGGGUAUAGGGAGCGGCGUAUACAACCCGUGCGGCUUAAUCUUGGAUUUGGCCUUCUUGCACGUCACACAUCGCGCACACACUCGUUCAACGUCCCUUUUCAUUUUCGGCCAAUAAAAAUGCUCUUGGAGGGUUGCUAAGGUUUUUCCAACGCCAAAAUGGCCCAUAAGGCCUCCGCUAUGCGCCUCGUGUACUAAUAGGUCUCGUAUGGAACUCCGCGGCACACAUAAUUUUCCUUCUCUAAAAAGGAAUCCGUCGCUCUUAUAAAACUUAUCAAUAGCAACACUUUCACAAGCUACAAAUAUUCUCCAAAAUCAUCAUCAGCAGGAUAUAAAUCUUUUAACAAUGCAAAACCAAGCAGUUUAGAGUCCAAAUACGACAAAAGGGUAUACCUUCUUGAAAAAGCAUCAGCUACGAUAUUUUCCUUACCCUUUUUAUACUUAAUGACAUAGGGAAAUGACUCCAAAUACUCUACCCACUUAGCAUGGCGUUUGUUUAAUUUGUGUUGUCCUUUAAUGUGCUUUAACGCUUCAUGAUCCGAAUGGAUCACGAACUCCUUCGGCCACAAAUAGUGUUGCCAAGUCUCGAGAGCGCGGAUAAGUGCAUACAUCUCCUUGUCAUAAACGGGGUAGUUUAGCACGGCACCAUUCAACUUUUCACUAAAGUAAACGAUCGGCCACCCAUCUUGAGUUAACACGGCACCUAUUCCAACACCUGAGGCAUCACACUCAAUUUCAAAUGUUUUAGAAAAAUCAGGCAAUGCUAACAACGGAGCUUUAGUAAGACAAUCUUUAAUAAUAUUAAAAGAAUUUUCUUGCUCUUCGCCCCAAUGAAAAGUCGAAUUCUUCUUGAUAGUGCUUGUCAACGGUGCAGCCAACGUGCUAAAGUUGGGUACAAAUCGCCUAUAGAAACUUGCUAGGCCAUGGAAGCUUCACACUUGGCUUAUGCUCGUCGGUCUCGGCCAUUCUUGAAUCGCCUUAAUCUUUUCGCUAUCUACUUCGAGGCCCUCCGAGCUAACCACGAAACCUAAAAAGAUAACUUUGUCAAAACAAAAUUUACACUUUUUAAGAUUAGCAUACAAAGUCUCUUUUCUAAGAACUUCCAAAACAGCUCGCAAAUGAAUUACAUGCUCAUCCAUUGAUUUGCUAUAAAUGAGGAUAUCAUCAAAAUACACAACGCAAAACUUACCAAUGAAAUUUCGUAAAACAUAGUUCAUAAGUCUCAUAAAAGUGCUAGGGGCGUUGGUUAAGCCGAAUGGCAUUACCAACCAUUCAUACAAACCAUGUUUCAUUUUAAAAGCGGUUUUCCACUCGUCACCUUCACGCAUUCGAAUCUGAUGGUAUCCGCUUUUGAGAUCAAUUUUUGAGAAUAACUUGGCACCACUUAACUUAUCGAGCAUAUCAUCUAAACGCGGUAUGGGAUGCCUAUACUUGAUGGUGAUUUUAUUUACGGCAUGGCAAUCGACGCAUAUGCGCCAUGUUCCGUCCUUCUUUGGUACCAACAAAACCGGUACAGCGCAUGGGCUAAGGCUCUCUCGAAUAUAGCCCUUUUCCAUGAGUUCGUUGAUUUGACGUUGAAGCUCUUUGGUUUCUUCAGGAUUGGUUCGGUAUGCUGGCCGAUUAGGAAUAACAGCUUCGGGCACAAAAUCGAUUUGGUGCUCAAUCCCACGAAGUGGUGGCAAACCACUUGGCACUUCAUCCGAAAAAUGUCUUUGAAAUCCUGCAAGAGAGACAGAACAAAAGAAGGGGGAUCUCCGGAUAAGUCGUUAGUAUUAAACAAAUUUUCCUUAUACAUAAGUACAAGGAUCGAUUGUUUUGCCAAAAACGCUUUUCGAACAUCACUUGCUUUUGCAAAGACAUUCAAUUUUUCACUCACUUUUUCUUUUUCUUCUUUUUCUUUUCUCGCUCUCUUUUCAUUCUCUUUUUUUGAAUUUUCUUUCUUUUUUUCAUUUUUCUUUUUCUCUCAUUUGAUCUACAGAAUUUUUCAACUUAAGUUGAUCCUCAUAAACUUGCUUUGGCAUCAAUGUAGCUAAGGUUACAUUUCUCCCCAGAUGCUUGAAGGAAUAUCGAUUUGAGUAACCAUCGUGCAUAACUCGAUGAUCGAAUUGCCAUGGACGGCCCAAUAACAAGUGACUCGCGUGCAUCGGAACAACAUCGCAAAGCACUUCAUCAGAAUAUUUUCCAAUGGAAAAGGAGACUAGAACUUGCUUUGUCACCUUUAACUCUCCUCCAUCGUUGAGCCAUUGAAGUUUGUACGGAGUUGGAUGCUUGGUGGUUGGUAGAUUUAAUUUUUCCACCAUGAGAGUGCUCGCUAUGUUCGUACAACUUCCUCCAUCGAUGAUGACACUACAUAGCUUUCCUUGUACUUGACAACGAGUAUGGAAGAUGUUCUCUCGUUGUUGUUCAUCGUCGAUGCUUUGGAUGCUUAGACUUCUUUUAACAACGAGGAGUUCUCCAUCAAGAGCGUGUUCAACUUCUUCAUCGUUGUCAGAAACGAUUUCGGGCUCGUCUUCAAGUUCUUCCUCCUCUGAUUCGAUUUCUCCAUCUGCUCGAACCACCAUGACAUUGCGGUUGGGACAUUGACUCGCAAUAUGGCCCCUUCUAAGGCACUUAAAACACUUAAUAUCUCUUGAACGAUUAGUAAAUGAAUCGGUUGCCUUACCUUUGCUCGUAUCGCCCAUAGGUUUGUUUGCUUUGGUAGGCACCAUUGGCUCUUUGGCACGGCUUGGUGGAUUAGUUUUACUCAAACUUUGCCCCCAUCUAGUUGUGCUUGGGGCAGGAAAACUUCGAGUGGUACUCUUUCGCUUGAGAUGCUUCUCCACCUUAAUGGCCAUGUGUACCAUGUCCACUAUCUCAACAUAAUGUUGGAGUUCCACAAUGUUAGCGAUAUCUCGGUUGAGACCAGCAAGGAAUCGCGCCAUUGUUGCUUCACGAUCUUCUUGGACAUCGGCUCGGAUCAUUGCGAUCUCCAUCUCUUUGAAAUAAUCCUCAACACUCUUUGAACCUUGAGUGAGAUUUUGAAGCUUUUGAUAGAGUUCCCAAUGGUAGUAGGAGGGAAUGAAACGACGUCGCAUCACGGCCUUUAUCUCGGCCCAAGUGGAUAUUGGCCGUUCCCCAUUCCUUCUUCGACUCGUAGUGAGUUGAUCCCACCAUAUCAUAGCAUAAUCGGAGAAUUCUAUGGCCGCCAACUUCACCUUUUUGAUCUCGGAAUAGUUGUGACAAUCGAAGACCAAUUCAAUCUUCUUUUCCCACUCCAAGUAAGCUUCCGGAUCAGACUUUCCUUGAAAGGAUGGAAUGGAUAGUUUAAUGUUCCUUAAGUCGUCAUCCAUACGUCUUUGAUUCCGAUUACCUCGAUUCCUUUGACCUCUUCGUCCUUCACUUAUGUUUGAUCCUUGAUCACUUUCAGCUUCAUUCGGAUCAUAUAGGUCGUCUUGAUUGAUUUCCAAUUGGUCUCACCCUCUUUGCGGCCCUUGGGGUGUACGCUCUCGUUGAUUCCCCAAUUCAACUCGAUCCAAUCGUUCGUUAAUAGAUUCUAACUCACCUCAGAUCAUGCGUUGGAUUUCUCGUAACAAGGCUUUUUGAGCCAAAUCCGGCACUCCACCUCCUCCAGGCGCAUUGUUUCGGAUUGGUUGCCUUCCACCUCCUUCCGCUAUAUUUUGUUCAGGACUUUGAGACAUGUAAAUAAAAACCUCACAGCAAAAACCUCACAAAAUUUCUCACAAGAAGAAUAAACACUCCACUCGUGUUUCACUCAAUUUCGGCAUUUAACUUGAUGUAACUCUCGUGCCUUUUACCACUCACUUUCCUCUCGUGAUUUCGUAAGCGACUCGUAGUGACUUAGUCUUAGUUCAGUGGGUCGGCUUCAAAAGGUUCAACAAAGGAUCGAUGUUAGGUUAUGGGUAGGCUAAAAGAAAUAAGAAAGGCUUUUAGGAUAAGUGUAGCGUAGAAGAAAAGAAGAUGAGUAGAAAGAGGUAUUGAACUUAAAAACUCGAAACACAAAAAAAAAAUUUAAUAGCGUGAAAUUUCACUUAGAAGGAUAUAAAAGAGUGUAGAAUGUGAUUUUGGAAAAAAUUUUGCUGAAGUGUCUCCAGACUUUUUUUUUACAGAUCUUUCACGUUCUUUUCGUCCACACCUAGACCGUAUGCAAAUUUUUUUCUUUUCAAUUUUUUUUCCUUUCAAUUUUUUUACGUACCUAUUUCAAAUUGACUUUGAGUGCUCGUACUUCUCAUUUUUACCAGCUCUGAUACCAAAUGAUAUGAUCUCGGUUUAGUAGUUGAGUCCGAGUCGUUUGGUUCCCGAUCGUAAACGAAGAAGUAGAUUAGAUGAGAAGGAGUUAGAAUAUAUUUGUGUACAAAGAAGUAAGAUAAGUUCGUGCAAAGUUGGAUGUGGAUUUGGUUUAAGUCGAAAUGGUAUGAAUAGAAUGGAAGAGUUCGGUUUAGGAUAAUUAAGAAAUGGUAUUAGGUUUUGGUACGUUUUGGUAUUUGGGAAUUGGUACGAAAUGGUAUGGAAUUGGUAUGAAAUGGUAUGGUAUUUGGUACGAAUUGGUAAUGGUUCAAAGAGGUCAAGAAUGAACCAACACUAAAGAAAAGUGUUGACCCGAAACUUAUAGGACCUAAAUGAAUUGGAAAUGGUUGAAAAGGACCUUGACCCGAUACUUAGGAAAGUAUGAACCAAAGGUAUCAAAGGUGAACGCCACACUCGGGUUUAAGGAGUGAUAAGUUCAGAAAAGACUCGGAAAGACGCCACUAAAAGCUUAGAUAAGUCUUACGGGUCUCGAACGAAAUUUGAGAGAAAAUGCCUCACAAAUUUGGCAGCAAUUCGCUAAUUAAAAUGUCAAAAGUCCCUUACAAAGUGAAAAAUCAGCUAUUUAUAAUAAUCCACUAGGCUAGCCGAAUGGUCACUUAAAUUCCUUAAAAAUUAAGCAAAUGAAUUACUUAAAUGGGCUAGCUAGAUUUGGCUGAACUUGGAGCUCCAAUGGUCACCUUCUAGAUGGACAAUUGAACUUGGAGCUUGAGGGAGUAAAUGGCAGCAGCUACAUUCGGUUGAUGUGCUUAAAGGAGCUCAUUUAAUUGGCAACUAUUGCUGAAAAAUUACCAGCAAUUAAGAAGAUGUUGAGUAGUCACUUUGAGUGUGAAAACCAAGUUUUGAAGAGUCUUUGAAUGUGAACACCUUGAUCCAAACAGCCAUGAUGUAUUCAACAGUUUGUAAGCAAUAAAUUCGGCUGAAUGGUCACUUAGGAGACUUCAAACAGCAGCCAACUUCAUUCUCCCAUUCAUGCAUGUGCCGUCCCCUUCAUGUACCCUCUUUUAAUACCUUUCAUGCUCCAAAAACGUUCAUGGAUGAUGUACCUGCAGCAACAUUCAUCAAAUAAUUCAAAUUCAUGUUUAGACACAUUAAAUUAACACUAAAAUGCUGCACAUUAAAUUCGGCAGCCUUAGGACAUAAUUAAAACAAGUAAUAAAGUUAACAUAUUAAAAACAAGCUUAAAAACAUAUUUAUAAGCUAUAUAAAUUAAGACAAAAUUAAUAACAUGUCAUAAUAACUAAAAUAUCAUGCAUAAUUAAGUUUGACCAGAUUUAAGACCAAUUUAAUAACGAAAAUUAAUUAAGCUUGUAAAUAACUAAUUUAACUAACUCAAUUAAUUAUUUCAGCUACUAUAUUAUUGACUAAGUUAUUUUGAGCUAAUUUUGAGCUGGUUCAAAUUUAAUGAGCUGAAGUGGAGCUUAAUUCAGCUCGUAACAAAGUGCAAGGAAGGCUCAUCGAGUUUGUCCAAGCUUCAUCAAUGCGUCCAACCAAAGUCUCGCCCCAAACUUGAUCUACUAAGGUCGAAACAGCCUCUUUGAAUUGUUUAGCUCGUGAUCGGGUGAUUGGACCUUGAGGCAGCUCCAAAGGCUCCUUGCUCGAGCUAGGUUAGACUUGAGGCGUGGCUGUAUCAGUGACGACUUGAGGACAAGUCAUUUCGAAGGGGGAGGGGAUGAUACGACCGUGGCUAAGGAGUCAACUAAGGAUGCCAACGAGCCCUUGGUGCUUCCAACGGGUCCUAUAACCCGUGCUCGAGCUAAAAGAUUUAAGGAAGGAAUUUCGGCAUUCAUCAAUGGAAUUUGGUGCAAUAUCGUGGCUGGACAACUUGAGAUCAAUGAACCGAGCAAACCAUGCUAUAUACUUGAAGUUCAACUAGCUCAAAUUUAGCUCGAGGAGCUCACUUUUAGUUUGUUGAUUUGUUGGAAUAAAUAAAUUUAGUUGCUGAUUAGUUAAAUAAUUAAUUAGUUUAAGGUUAAUUAAAAAUCUGGACAUAUUAAAUAUUGAUGUGUUUUAUUUUUAAUGCAUGUUCUUAAUAUGUCCAAGUUUAUUACAUGAAUUAAUGGUGUCCUAAGUCUAGCCAAAUUAAUGAUUAAAUAAUUAAGUUGUCCAAUUCUUGAACAUGUUUUUAAUUUGUCCUAGGGGCUACCGAAUUUAAUGCAUGGAUUUUUAGUGUUAAUUGCUACCUUAUUAAUGUGUCUAAAUUGCAUUUAAUUUGUUGAAUAAAUUUGCUGCAGGUACACUAAAUUGGGACGUCCUAGGUGCAUGAAAAACUUAAAGAAGAUGUGCUGACUUUUGAAGACUCCAAAGUGACCAUUCAGCUAAAGUUUGCCAAUUUUUCAAGAUGACUAUUCGGCAAUUGUGCUGCUGAUUUCUUUUCCCAAGCUGACUUUUCAGCUAGUUAAAUUCCUUUCACAUGAUGAAGCUAAUCGGUUCUAAGUGUUCACACAUUAGGGACUCUUCAAGACCGAAUGUUCACACAUGGAGGCUGUUCGUUUCAAGGUUUUCACAUUACAAAAAGGCUGAUUAGUAGCUCCUUAAUUGCUGGUCACUUUUCAGCAAUAGUUGCAUUAUAAAUGAGCUCAUUAAGCAUGUUAAAUGAAUCAAGCUGCUGCCAUGCACAUCUUCAAGUUUCCAAGUCCAAUGUUUGCUCUAGAAGCUGCCCAUUCAAGCUCCCAUUCGGCUGAAUCUUAUUCACUAAUUAAAUAGAUUCAUUUACUUAGUUUUUAAGAAUUCAGGUGGCUAUUCGGCUAGCCUAGUCAUUUGCCUAUAAAUUGUGUUGACUUUAUUUUGUAAGGAACUUUUGAACAUUAUCGAAUUGCUGUCAAAUUGUUGAGAGAACUCUUCUCUUAAAUUUUGUCCACAAACUUUGUUGACUUAUCUAAUUAGUUAGUGGCGUCAACCCGUUUUUGUUCAACCGAACUCAUACGAUAUCGUGUGGCGUUCACUCUAAAAUAUACCAAGGUUCCUAUCUAUUAUAGAUUGAUAGAAGAAUGCGCGCGGACCAAGAUCGAGUUGCCAAGUCACGAGAAACUCCUACGAAAGCUCUAAACGAACAGAUCUGAAAUCAAACAAAGAACGAGAUUAAAUCUGGAAAAAUUAAAAUCUGGAAUAAGAACCCUAAAAAAUCAGCAAGAUCUAAUCAAGGAACGAAACACUUAUGAAAGAGGUUUCUUGAAACCAAGAACCCGAAAUUGAUUCCCAAGAAUGAACUCCCACAAGCCGAAUCUGCCAAGAACACCAAAACAGUAAGUAGAUUGAAACAAUCAGAUUUUUAAUUGGAAGAUUAGGGAUUUGGGCGGCAAAAAAAAAAGAAAAGAAAGAAAUAGGUGAAAUUGAACAGUUCAAGAAGUGAAUUUAAGUUGCGAUUCGGUCCAAUUGAACACCCAAUAUGAAUUGCCCAAAUUUCAGCAGCCGAAUUUCACCCAACAAGAAGAAAUAGAAAACGGCAAGAACCCUAAAUUUUGGGGAAUUUUGAGUCGAUUAUAUGUGGCCAAUAAAAGAACCGAUUAAAUGAAGAGUUCUUGGAGUUUGAAUCAAGGCUGAAACAAAAACAAGAAGAGCAAAAUAUUAGAUGAUGAAUCGGCACAAGUAGGAAUAAAGAAACAAAUCGAAAUAGCAAGAAAUAAAGAAAAGUCCUAAGAACCCUUGAAUUCCCGAAAGAAUUCACAAAUCCCUUCAAACGGCUCUAAUCUCCCCUCCAAAGAAUAUCGAUGGCAAGAAGAAGGUUGAAGAUGGCUCCCACAAUCAAAAGAUUGUUAAAACAACUUCUAAAGAAAACUCAAGAGAGAAUUCUUGGAGAAAACCCCAAAGAAAAUUCUGCACUCAACAAAUCUAAAAUUUGAUAGAAAAAAAUAAUAAUAAGAUGUGUUUACAAAGGGUGGCUGGCCAAUGCUUAUAUAGGCCUCCAACAAAUCCUAAUCUCACAAGUAACUAAUAAAAAUUAAACCUAAUUAAUAAAAUAACAAGGUAAAUUCGGUCAUGCACUUAUAUGGGCUGUUUUGGACCGAAUUUUUCAUGUAAUGCUCCUAAAGAUUAAAAAAUUAAAUUAAACAAGUAGGAUGUUUACAAAUUGGGCCCUUUGACAUUUUGGCCUGAUUUUCAACUAAGUAUGAAGAAAUUUCUUGAUUGGGCUGGAUUUUGGUUAUUGGGCCUCGCCUUCAAGAAUUUGGGCUCGUGAUCCAUCUCCUACCAAAAUUGGGUCGUUGACGCUUGUAACGGAGAUCCAAUGCGUUUUGGCUGCAAGAUUUGGUUUCUUGGACCAAGAUUUCCAAGAUUUGAAAUCUUGAUUUUAUUGAUUCUUGAAAUCUCUUCGAACAGAAAAAUUGGGCCAAGAUUCGGUUUCUUGAUUUUCUUGAAAACAAGAAAGUGAAUCUUGAUUUUCUUGUUCUCUCGUGUAUGCAUCUAAGGCCUUGCUAACAAGCUCUUGAAUGGUCCCAUUUAGUUUGGACCGCAUUUGUCGGGCCUUUGAUCUUGUUAUUGGGCCUUGUGCCAAUUUGAGCCCAGCACGUUCUUGAACUUGGAUUGGGCCUUUAUGACUCGUAUCAUUCCCCCCUUCCUCAAAAAGAUUCGUCCUCGAAUCUGAAAAAUCAAAUGGGGACAAGUCAGCCACAUUAAAAGUAGAACUUACAUUGUACUCACCAGGUAGAUCAAUUUUAUAGGCAUUAUCGUUGAUCCGCUCGAGUACUUGGAAAGGCCCAUCGCCCCUUGGGUCCAACUUAGUCUUCCUUUUUGUAGGAAAUCGUUCUUUCCUCAAAUGGACCCAAACCCAAUCUCCGGGUUCUAGUACAACCCGUUUGCGCCCCUUGUUUGCUUUGUUGGUGUUGGCAUCAUUUUUUUGGCUAUGCGCUGUCUAGCCUUCUCAUGUAAGGAUUUCACCAACUCAGCUUUCUGUUCGCCAUCUAAAUUCAUAGCGUGUUCAAGAGGUAAUGGCGCAAGAUCAAGUACUGUUAGUGGGUUAAAACCAUAAACAAGUUCAAAUGGGGAAUAACCAGUUGUAGAAUGAAUAGAUCUAUUAUAUGCAAAUUCAACGAAUGGUAGGCAUUCUUCCCAAUUUCUAAUGUUCUUUCCCACAACAGCUCGUAAUAGAGUCCCUAAGAUUCGAUUAACUACUUCAGUUUGACCAUCAGUUUGGGGGUGACAUGUAGUAGAAUAAAGCAAUUUAGUACCAAGCUUACCCCACAAUACCUUCCAAAAGUGGCUAAGGAAUUUGACAUCUCUAUCAAAAACAAUUGUUUUAGGGAUGCCAUGAAGUCUUACCACUUCUUUAAAGAAUAAGUCUGCCACAUGUGUAGCAUCAUCUGUUUUGUGACAAGGAAUAAAAUGUGACAUCUUUGAUCUCGUUAGUCGGCCUUGUGGCAAUUUGAGCCCAUCACUUUCUUGAACUUGGGUUGGGCCUUUAUGACUCGUAUCAGUCCAACUUGGUUUUUCUUUUAGUAGGAAAUCGUUCUUUCCUCAAAUGGACCCAAACCCAAUCUCUAGGUUCUAGUACAACUCGUUUGCGCCCCUUGUUUGCUUUGUUGGUGUUGGCAUCAUUUGUUUUGGCUAUUCGUUGCCUAGCCUUCUCAUGUAAGGAUUUCACCAACUCGGCUUUCUAUUCGCCAUCUAAAUUAAUUAUGUGUUAAAGAGGUAAUGGCGCAAGAUCAAGUACUGUUAGUGGGUUAAAACCAUAAACAAGUUCAAAUGGAGAAUAACCAGUUGUAGAAUGAAUAGAUCUAUUAUAUGCAAAUUCAACAAAUGGUAGGCAUUCUUCCCAAUUUCUAAUGUUCUUUCCCACAACAGAUAGUAGUAAAGUCCCUAAGAGUCGAUUAACUACUUUAGUUUGUCCAUCAUUUUGGGGGUGACAUGUAGUAGAAUAAAGUAAUUUAGUACCAAGCUUACCCCACAAUACCUUCCAGAAGUGGCUAAGGAAUUUGACAUCUCUAUCAGAAACAAUUGUUUUAGGGAUGCCAUGAAGUCUUACCACCUCUUUAAAGAAUAAGUCUGCCACAUGUGUAGCAUCAUCUGUUUUGUGAUAAGAAAUAAAAUGUGCCAUCUUUGAAAACCUGUCAACAACAACAAAUAUACUAUCUCUUCCUUUUUUUGUUCGAGGCAAACCUAAAAUAAAAUCCAUGGAUAAAUCUACCCAAGGUGAAGUAGGAAUCGGUAGAGGAGUGUAAAGGCCAUGAGGCAUUACCUUAGAUUUUGCUUGUUUGCAUGUAAUACACUUGGAACAUACCUUUUCCACAUCCUUCUUCAUAUGUGGCCAAUGGAAGUGUUCUUGCAAUAUGUCUAGUGUUUUGGCCACUCCAAAAUGUCCCAUUAGUCCCCCACUAUGGGCUUCAUGAAUCAACAAUUCUCUCAUGGAACACUUUGGUAUGCAUAACCUGUUUAAACGAAAAAGAAAGCCAUCUACAAGAUAAAAUUUUUCAAAAGCAGUAUGUCCACAAUUCUUAUAGAUAUGGCUGAAAUCAGUAUCAUCAUCAUAUAACUCUUUAAUAUGUUCAAACCCUAAGACUUUAGCAUUCAAUGUAGUUAUUAAAGUAUAUCGUCUAGACAAAGCAUCUGCGACUACAUUAUCUUUACCUGUUUUAUAUUGAAUCACAUAAGGGAAUGUUUCAAUGAAUUCUACCCAUCGGGCAUGUCUUUUACUCAACUUACCUUGUCCCUUUAACCAUUUAAGAGACUCAUGAUCUGUAUGUAUGACAAACUCAUUAGGCAGCAAAUAAUGUUGCCAUACUUGAAGUGCACGAACUAAUGCCAAUAGUUCUUUGUCAUAAGUCGAGUAAUUUAACUGUGCACCGUUCAAUUUCUCACUAAAAUAAGCAAUAGGUUGCUUAUCUUGCAUUAAAACGGCGCCGAUUCCAAUUCCUGAAGCAUCACACUCAAGUUCAAAAGUGUUAGCAAAAUCAGGUAAUUUAAGCAAAGGAGCAGAACAUAACUUAGCUUUUAGAGUUUGAAAAGCUUUUUCUUGGGUUUCACCCCAUUUGAAACCCACUGAUUUCUUUAUAACUUCAGUCAAUGGGGCAGCAAUAGUAGAGAAAUCUUUCACAAAUCGUCUAUAAAAACUGGCUAAACCAUGGAAAGAUCUCACCUCAGUUACCGAUUUAGGAGUCGGCCACUCCUUAAUUGCCUUAACUUUGUCCUCGUCGACAUGAAUACCUUGAGCACUAACUAUGAAACCUAAGAAUAUUAGUUUAUCACAACAGAAUGUGCAUUUAUCAAGGUUGGCAAAUAAUCUUUUAGUUCGUAGAAUAUCCAAAAUGGUUCGAACAUGGAAAACAUGAUCAUCUAAUGACUUUGAGUAAAUUAAAAUCUCAUCAAAGUAAACUACUACAAAUUUACCCAAAUGUAGCCUCAAAACAUGAUUCAUUAAUCUCAUAAAUGUACUAGGUGCAUUAGUAAGGCCGAAAGGCAUAACUAACCAUUCAUACAAUCCAAAUUUUGUUUUAAAAGCUGUUUUCCAUUCAUCCCCUUCCCUCAUUCGAAUUUGAUGAUAACCGCUUUUUAAAUCAAUUUUUGUAAAUAUUAUUGAACCAUGUAAUUCAUCAAGCAUAUCAUCAAGUCUAGGGAUUGGGUGUCGAUACUUUACCGUUAUCUUGUUGAUUGGGCGACAAUCAACACACAUACGAAACGUACCAUCUUUCUUUGGCACCAAUAAGACAGGAACAGCACAAGGACUUAGGCUCUCACGAAUGUACCCUUUGUUUAGUAAUUCCUCCACUUGCCUUUGCAAUUCCUUUGUCUCCUCAGGAUUGCAUCUAUAGGCUGGUCGAUUUGGGAUUGAAGCUCCGGGUACUAAGUCAAUUUGAUGUUCUAUCCCUCGUAAAGGUGGUAAACCUUUAGGGGCCUCACUAAAAACAUCCUCAUAAUCCUGCAAAAGAGAUUGAAACACACUAGGCAAAUUUUCGUUAAUGUUAGAUAAAGAUAAAUAAUUUUGCCUAAACCUCACAAGGAUACAAGGCUGUUUAUUAAGUAGGGCUCUCUUCACAUCUUUUUUUGUUGCCAAAAGAUUUUUUCCGCUCAUUUUACCACUAGAGGAACCACUCACCUUUGGGCUUUUUAAAUUUUGACUUUUUCCACUACUAUUAGCCUCUUUUCUCUCUGUCUUUUGUACUUGCUCUUUCUCCCUUACCCCCUCACAAAAUUUUAUCAUCCUCAAUUGAUCUUUAUAUACAUCAGUAGGAUUUAAAGGAGCAAAAGUGAAUUUCUUGCCUUUAAAUACAAUGGAGUAUCGAUUAAGUUUACCUUGGUGUGUAACAUCGCGAUCAAAUUGCCAAGGUCGUCCAAGGAGCAAGUGUGCCGCAUGCAUGGGGACUACAUCACACCAUACGUCAUCCUCAUAAUUGUCGAGUUUAAUAGUGACCAAGGACUGUUUCGUAACUUUAACUUCGGAACAUUCAUUAAGUCACUGAAGGUGAUAUGGCUUAGGGUGUUUGGUACAAGGCAACUUUAAAGAAUCCACCAAAUAACUACUCACUACAUUCGAGCAACUACCACUAUCAAUAAUGAGUGAACAUAAGUUACCUUUAAUAAAACACCGAGAAUGGAAAAUAUUGGCCCUUUGGCUAUCAUCAUCUUUCAUCUGAAUGUUAAGAGUUCGACGAACUACAAGGCAUUGAAAAUUA
RNAcentral lists this long non-coding RNA (87020 nucleotides) under Gossypium barbadense (sea-island cotton). RNAcentral describes it as "long non-coding RNA (GBAR_LNC020947)". Lineage: Eukaryota; Viridiplantae; Streptophyta; Magnoliopsida; Malvales; Malvaceae. The record is from RNAcentral.